GUUGUUGAGCCUUGGGCAGACAGGGGAGGUGCUGUCCGUUCGGCAGUCCGCCGCCGCGGCCGAACCGUGCCAAAUUGGUAGUGGGUUUCGGGGCGGGGCGUGACAGUUAUUCGUGGUAUCAGAGCAAUAAGAGCAAGUAAAGAAAGAAAGUCUAGGAUGACCUAUGAGACCCUAGGUUGAUAAGCCCUAAGGUUAUAGGUGCGUGAGCGGAACGUGAACCUAUAGCGAUGGCGGAAGUUAAUUCGAUUCGGUCGAAGUUGGUAAUGUGUCUCUAGUUGUGAUUAGAGACGGAUUCAAGUUGUAUGAGUUCUUGUCUUGAGGUGGUUGUGUCGGCGGCCGACGACAUGAUGCCAAGAGUCUAGAACGAGUGCAUUUGUGUGCUUCCGCCCGAUUUUGUUCUUGAGUCGUCAUGUGACAUAAUUGCGACGAGGCAAUUGGUUAAGAUAACUGACCGAGUAUCUGUGUUUCAGGGACUAAUGUCUCCAAGACGCUACACGCAUAGAUCUGCCCCAGCACCGAUUCCUGAGGUGCCCGAGCAGGAGGAACCGAGCGUGAUCGAUCGGUUGCAAGCGCAAGUGACCGCGCUGACCAAUGUGGUGCAGCGCCAGGAGACCCGAUUUGAGCGGCUCUAGGAUCUAUUAGAGCGGCAGAUUACGGCGGCGGCUGCGACGGUGAAUGAGGGCGGUGGUCCGCCCGCACCCUCGACUCAUAUACCCGGAGCGGCAGAGGGUGAGGGCAUAGCGGCGGUUCCGGUGACGGCACGCCCACCGCCAGCGAUCGUACCACAGGCGGCAUCGAGAUCGGCUACACCCGAUGUGACGGCCGAAGACAUGGAGGGAGAGCGCGCAUUGGCGGCUCUUAUCAAGUUCAACAAGUUCCAUCCGCCAACCUUCGAGGGCGAGAAGGUGGAACCGGAGAUGGUCGAGUCCUGGAUUGACUCGAUGGAAACCCUCUUCGACGAUCUGCGUACCUUGGAGAGGGACAAGGUGUACCUCGCCACCUAUUGCUUAGAGAAGGCGGCGAAGGUUUGGUGGAAGUGCGUCAAAUGAGAUCGGCUUCCCGGCCUUCCGCCAAUGUUGUGGGAGGAGUUCAAACGGGAGAUGUUCGCCAACUAUUUCCACGAUACACUGAAGCGGAAGCUCAAGAAGAAGUUUCGCAAGCUAGAGCAAGGGGACCACUCAGUGGCGGAGUACGAACAAGAAUUCUCCCAUAUCAUCGAUUGCGUCCCAGAUGUUGUAAAAGAUGACUGGGACCGGGCCGAGUGGUUCUUGCGAGGACUUCGGCCGGGAAUUUAUAAGGCCGUGCAAAUACUUAAGCUCACGACCUUUGCGGAGGUCUUUGAUCGAGCCCUAUGGGCAGAGCACGGAGAUGGCCACGUUCGGGAGAAGCGUGAGCUUUUGGCGGAGUCCAAGGAUAAGGGCAAGAAACGCCAAGGUAGCGGUAGUUCGAGGGGACAGACACGUUAUAAGAGACCCCCGAAGUACCCGCGCGCUCAACAGAGGAGCGGUGGAGCGCGGCGAUGUAUCGUAUGCGGCGGAGACCACCCGAACUCGCACUGUGAGCAAGGCCGAGGCAAGUGCUACAAAUGUGGGCAACCGGGGCACUUCAUUCGGGACUGCCCGGGAGGAGGAGCCUCACCUGCCCCAUCGAUUGCAUCGGCGCCGGCGAUCCCGGCACACUAUGGAGGAGCUCCACCGACGGCCGCGUCGACUGGACGCGCGAUGAUGCCGCGUCAACAUGAAGCAACGCGAUCGGCCCCGAGCAGCCGGGUGUUCGCCGCUCAGGUCCAAGCUGAGGAACCUGCGGAGGCAGAAGAGCAUCGCCUUGUGGCAGGUAUGGUUUUAAUUAACGGAGUUCGCUCCAGGGCUUUUUUUGAUACAAGAGCCACGCAUUCAUUCAUAAGUAGAUCAUUUGCACGCAUGCAUGGCAUACAUAUAGAAGCGAGUGACAAGUGGCGAGUGGAGGGCCCUGGGUCAACGUUUAACACCUACUCGGAGUGUGCGUCGUGUCCCGUACAAAUAGGCGACUGGAUCAUGCCUAUCCGAACACUGGAACUCACAAAGCUUGAGGCUUAUGACGUCAUUCUGGGCAUGGACUGGCUCUCGAAAUAUCACGCAACGAUCGACUGCAAGAGCAGGGUGAUCACGUUCUGCGAGCCAGGACAAGAGGAAUUCACAUAUCAGGCUUGUCAAAGCUCAUGCUUCGUCGCGAUGGUGUCGGCGACGAGAGCGAGGAAAUUGGUCAACAGCGGUUGCACGACAUUUUUAGCAACUGUUGUAGAAGUGGAAUGAGUAGCUCCAACGUUAGAGGAGCUAUCGGUGGUGCGGGAGUUCCCGGAUGUAUUUCCCACGGAGUUUCCGGGGAUACCACCGGAUCGGAAGAUCGAGUUCGUCAUAGACUUGGUUCCCGGUACCGCACCGAUCUCGAAGGCUCCGUACCGAAUGGCGCCGGCGGAAUUGAAGGAGUUGAGGAGUCAACUGCAAGACCUCCUCGACAAGCAAUUUAUCCGGCCAAGUGUAUCACCGUGGGGAGCCCCGGUAUUGUUUGUAAGGAAGAAGGAUGGAUCGUUUCGACUCUGCAUGGAUUAUCGAGAAUUAAACAGAGUCACGAUCAAGAACAAGUACCCACUACCCCGAAUCGACGACUUGUUCGAUCAGUUGCAAGGAUCGUGUGUAUACUCGAAGAUAGAUCUGCAAUCCGACUAUCACCAGCUGAAAAUCAAGCCGGAGGAUGUGCAGAAGACUGCGUUCCGUACACGGUAUGGACACUACGAAUUCACGGUCAUGCCAUUUGGACUCACGAAUGCUCCAGCGGCAUUCAUGGAUUUGAUGAACCGUGUCUUCAAGAGGUAUUUGGAUCGAUUCGUCGUGGUCUUCAUAGACGACAUAUUGGUCUAUUCUCGUAGUGAUGAGGAACAUGCCGAGCAUUUGAGAAUAGUGCUUCAAGUCCUUCGGGAGGAGAAGCUAUAUGCUAAGCUGAAGAAGUGUGACUUCUGGCUCCGCGAGGUCGCCUUCUUAGGGCAUGUGAUUUCCGCGGGUGGAGUUUCAGUAGACCCGAGGAAAGUUGAGGCAAUCCAGGAUUGGCCGCGCCCGACGAAUGUACGGAGGUCCGAAGCUUCGUGGGCUUGGCGGGCUACUAUCGGCGGUUCGUGGAAGGCUUUUCGAAGAUAGUGAUUCCACUUACCCGCUUGACCCAAAAAGGCACCAAGUUUGUUUGGAGCGAAGAGUGCGACCGGAGUUUUAAAGAGUUGAAGCAAAGAUUGACUUCGACUCCGGUGCUCGCUCUACCGGUGCAGGGCAAAGACUUCGUAGUCUACAGUGAUGCCUCCUAUCUUGGAUUGGGGUGUGUGUUGAUGCAAAACGGGAAAGUGAUCGCUUAUGCAUCCCGUCAGCUGAAGAGCUAUGACAAGAACUACCCUAUUCAUGAUUUGGAGCUAGCGGCUGUGAUUUUCGCCUUGAAACUGUGGAGGCACUAUUUAUAUGGUGCCCAUUGUGAGAUUUAUACCGACCACAAGAGCUUGAAGUAUCUGUUCACACAGAAGGAGCUCAAUAUGCGUGAGCGGCGGUGGUUGGAGCUGUUAAAGGAUUAUGAUGUUGACAUCCUCUACCACCCCGGGAAGGUGAAUGUGGUCGUGGAUGCGCUUAGUAGGAAGUCGGCGAAGAACCUCGCUUUCGAUGUUACCCAGCAAACACCCCUGUGGCUAGACAUGGAGCGAUUGGACCUUGAAGUGGUCGCUCCCGAGGUCCCGACUCAGUUGAUGGCACUCGUUGUCCAACCGACCUUGUUGGAGAGGAUCAAAGAUCUGCAACCCGCAGACCCAGAACUCCAAAAGGUGCAGCGAAACAUCGAGGAAGGUCAUGGCGACGAUUUCAAGGUAGACGCCGACGGUACGCUUCGGUUUCGAAACCGAUUGUAAUAUACCGAGAAUUCGGAAAAUAAAUAUCGAACUUUAGUCAAAUUGACCAAAGUGCGAGGACGGUACACUUCGGAAAGUUCGAAGGUGUUAAAAUGAGUAAAAGAGUGUUGUGGAAGGUUUUCGAGAGCUAAGAAUCAAAAUUUUGCAAACUGCAGAUUUUCAACUCUCAGGGACCGGUCCCUGGUGGGAGAGACCGGUCCCUGAACGUGUGAAAAAUGAGCGAGGCCGCAAAUCGGCUAAGUCCCUGAGAACCAGCCGAAAAUGAGGGAGGACCGCGGCAAGGGCAUCGCCCCCGAUCAGUGAGACCGUGGUAGUUAGUAGCUUUCCUUUUGCAUUAGUACACCUAUGUAUUUGAGAGAUUCAUUGUAGGUGAGGACUUGGAGAGCUAUGCAUUUUGAGAUGAAAAAUGUAUUCAUUUAAAGAGAAUGAUGUAAAUGGAAAUGAUGAAACUGUUGUAAUAGUUCGUAAAAUACUCUCUUUAUUUCACAUGUACAUCUUGUGGAUUACUUGCUCUUUGUAUUGUUGGCACUGUUUGUGUCCUUGUGAAUGUGUAUGUUUAGAAUUUAAGUUCCCAGGUAAAUUCUUGUACACAUUCUUGUUGUUGAGCCUUGGACGGACAGGGGAGAUGCUGUCCGUUCGGCAGUCCGCCGCCGCGGCCGAACCGUGCCAAAUUGGUAGUGGGUUUCAGGGCGGGGCGUGACGGUGCCAUAAGCACCAUCGAUGCCGAGUAUCAGGAAAGACACGUGUGAUAGCAUUUUGCAUCGCUUUAUCUUGAUCUGUGAUUAUUGCUUUGGGGGCACGCUCGGACAUGCAUGACAACCAAUUCCGAAAGAGCCAUACAAACGAUUCUAUAUCUUCAGUGGAGAGUAAGCCGCAUCCCAACAAGAUCGACUAUCCAUGAUGGUUAACACCAACGAGAGGGACAAUUGGCAUAUCGUAUUUAUUUGUUAGAUAUGUCGAGUCGAAAGUAAUUACAUCUCCGAAACUUUCAUACGCCGCUCUACUCCGAGCAUCUGCCCAAAAGACAUUGCGAAGCCGAGAAUCAUCGUCUAGAUCUAUGGCAUAAAAAGAGUUUCCAUUUCUCUCUUGCAUUUCUCUAAAAUAAUUACAAAUUGCCUCGCCGUCACCUUCACCAAGUCGUAGCCGACGGACUUUUUCAAUAUAAUUACGAGCAUCCUUCUCUCCAAAUGUUAAGUUUUCAUACCCACCAGCUUCAACAGCAAUAGAAUUAAAAUUUUUGUUCAAUCUGAUCUAGCACGAUCAUUAAUAUCAAGCCGCCUCUUGAUGCUCGGAUCUAUAAUUCGAUUGCAGGGAAAAAAUUGAGACUUAUAAGGACUUAGGAUGUGAUUAUGCUCAAGUACAAUUUUACUUAUUACACAAGAUAAAUCCGCAUUUAUUACUACAUUUAUCCUCGCAAGACAGUUCGUCUUUACUACCGAUGGACGAGGACGAAGAUUCGUCACGGUCCGAUUCAUUUUUCCAUGACGAGAGCAUGCGAUUAUUACAUACGUAGCCUUGCCAUCAGUCAUUUUAGUUGUCCUCUUUACAACUCCAAAUCCUAAUUCCUGUGCGUAAUGCUUAUAGAAAUUAAAAACGGCUUCAAAAUUGAUAAAAGACAUUCUAAUUUCUGGUGCCGAAAUAUUUACAUCUCUGACCUCACUGUUUCUUUCUUCAUCCAUCUCCAAAAUGUUCAAUUCAAAUAAUCAGUUAACUCAGAAAUUUAACAAAAUUGCUCACCUAUAAGACAUCACAUGCAGUCGAAAUAUAUAAUUGGAAUAAUGGUGACCAGGCAAACUAUUUAUCAAAAUCAAUACAUCUAAAUUAAUAAUGUAUACACCACAUUCUACUAUACCCUAAAAAUGAAUCAUUGUGGCAUAACAAAAUAAUACAAGUAUUUUAUUAUAAGUACAUCCUAAACGUUUUAGUUAGUGCAUGACAAAUGUGAAGACAAAGAACUCCAAUAAGAUAGUCGCAACUUAUCAGUCUUAUUCUUAAGACUGAUAAGAUAAUACUCACUUGAAUUACAAGCCAUUCAUACAUCAUAUAAAAGAGACAUAAGUUUUUGCAGCUCAAGGACAAGCAUCAUAUACUGGAAGUAAUUGGACAGUGUGGACCAGAAGUAAUGAAUCGCAGCUAGUAAACUGAGCACACUUGGACAACAAUUAUGCAUAAGAGACGAACAGUUGGACUUUCAUGUUAUAUAGAAUAUUACUGAUCAACCUAUAUGAACUGGCUAGUGAAUUGGCCUCGCUAGUUCCAAGAUAAUAAUAUUUCAGCAUCAAUACAGGAAGGGCAAUAAAUUUGCAAAAUCAACUUUGAGAAAUCACAUAUAUACUUUAUUUACGAUGCAUCUAAACAAAUGUAAGUAAAACAAUGGUGACAAAGGCCAAGUUCAUUAAAUGUGCUUCAGUAGUAAACUAGUUAGUUGUCAUUGUCAUUAGGACUGAAACUCUUAAAUUCAAAACUUUUUUCAACCUAUGAGUAAACUGCACCACGGGAUCUCAACCUUUUAGCAUAGUUUUACUUUGGUCACGAACCUUUCAAUUGUUAAAUUGGAACUCUAGCAUUUGUGUUGUGUCCCAAUUUUACCUUUUUCACUUAAAUUCCUCCAUCUUCUCACGUUCAUCAUUACUUAUACACUCAACGGUAUAACAACAUAAAAAAAGAAACCAGUUUCAUUAAACAUUAAAGAUCACUAAUUCUCUGCGAUCAAAUGCUUACAACAUCACAAUCAACUAAUCCGUAAUAACUACAACAUGAACCCAAGUCACACACAUCCACUAAGAAAUAGAGAGGGGAGAUUUACCAAAUGCAAGAUGCUAAUCAAGGCGCCAUCCGCAUCCGGCCACUUGGACACCAAAUCAAACACGAAGUUCCCCUCGCCAACGACGACUCUGCAAGAAGCAUCGCUCUGAAUCCCACCUAAUCUCAAACCAGUGCUUCCCCUUUCAGAAACUACGAGUCAAAGACGAAGUUCCCCUCACUCUCGCUCUCGCUUUCUCUCGCGGAGGUCAUCUCUGUCUCGCUCAAGUUCUCCUCUCUCUCGCUCUAUCGCUCGCAGGCCUCUCUCUCUAGCUCGCAGGCGCCAGAAAAGGGGAGUGAGGCGCCCCUCUCUCGCUCUUUAAGGAAGUGAAUUCUCGAAAUCCGAGGAUUGUACUUCAUCCAGGGUCGACUAACUGUCGAGAGAAUACCCAUUGUGGGAGUUAAAAAAUGUCCAAAACAUAAGAAGUGCUUUGGAGUUAAGUCCGCGAGAGCAAAUAGGCAAAAUCUGGACUCAGCAAAUAGGCAAAAAUGUCCAAAACACAAGGAUGACCGGGACCGGGCCGAGUGGUUCUUGUGAGGACUUCGGCCGGGAAUUUAUAAGGCCGUGCAAAUACUCAAGCUCACGACCUUUGCAGAAGUCUUCGAUCGAGCACUAUGGGCGGAGCACGGAGAUGCCCAUGUUCGGGAGAAGCAUGAGCUUUUGGCCGAGUCUAAGGACAAGGGCAAGAAACGCCAAGGUGGCAGUAGUUCGGGGGACAAACACGUUACAAGAAACCCCCGAAGUAUCCGCGCACUCAACAGAAGGGCGGUGGAGCGCGGCGAUGCAUUGUAUGCUGCAGAGACCACCCGGUCUCGCGCUGUGAGCAAGGCCGAGGCAAGUGCUACAAGUGUGGGCAACCGGGGCACUUCAUUCGGGACUGCCCGGGAGGAGGAGCCUCACCUGCCCCAUCGAUUGCAUCGGCGCCGGCGAUCCCGACUCAUUAUGGAGGAGUUCCACCGACGGUCGCAUCGACGGGACGCGCGAUGAUGCCGCGUCAACCCAAAGUGACGCGAUCGGCCCCGAGCGGACGGGUGUUCGCCGCUCAGGUCCAAGCUGAGGAACCUGCGGAGGCAGAGGAGCAUCGCCUUGUGGCAGGUAUGGUUUUAAUUAACGGAGUUCGCUCCAGGGCUUUAUUUGAUACAGGAGCCACGCAUUCAUUCAUAAGUAGAUCAUUCGCACGCAUGCAUGACAUACUCAUUGAAGCGCGUGACAAGUGGCGAGUGGAGGGCCCUAGGUCAACGUUUAACACUUACUCGGAGUGUGCGUCGUGUCUCGUACAAAUAGGCGACUGGAUUAUGCCUAUCCGGACACUAGAACUCACAAAGCUUGAGGAUUAUGACGUCAUUCUGGGCAUGGACUGGCUCUCGAAGUACCACGCAACGAUCGACUGCAAGAGCAGGGUGAUCACAUUCUGUGAGCCAGGACAAGAGGAGUUCACAUAUCGGGCUUGUCAAAGCUCAUGCUUCGUCGCGACGGUGUCGGUGACGAGGGCAAGGAAGUUGGUUAACAGCGGUUGCACGGCAUUCUUAGCGACUGUUGUGGAAAUGGAACGAGUAGCUCCAACGUUAGAGGAGCUAUCGGUGGUGCGGGAGUUCCCGGACGUAUUUCCUGCGGAGUUGCCGUGGAUACCACCAGAUCGGGAGAUCGAGUUCGUCAUAGACUUGGUUCCCGGUACCGCACCGAUCUCGAAGGCUCCGUACCGAAUGGCGCCGGCGGAAUUGAAAGAGUUGAGGAGUCAACUGCAAGACCUCCUCGACAAGCAAUUUAUCCGGCCAAGUGUAUCACCGUGGGGAGCCCCGGUGUUGUUCGUACGGAAGAGGGACGGAUCGUUCCAACUCUGCGUGGAUUAUUGAGAAUUGAACAAAGUCACGAUCAAGAACAAGUACCCGCUACCCCGAAUCGAUGACUUGUUCGAUCAGUUGCAGGGGUCGUGUGUGUACUCGAAGAUAGAUUUGCAGUCCGGCUACCACCAACUAAAGAUCAAGCCGGAGGAUGUGCAGAAAACUGCGUUUCGUACGCGAUAUGGACACUACGAAUUCACGGUCAUGCCAUUUGGACUCACGAAUGCUCCAGCGGCAUUUAUGGAUUUGAUGAACCGUGUCUUAAGAAAAUAUUUGAAUCGAUUUAUCAUGGUCUUCAUAGACGACAUAUUAGUCUACUCUCGUAAUGACGAGGAACAUACCGAGCAUUUGAGAAUAGUGCUUCAAGUCCUUCGGGAGGAGAAGCUAUAUGCUAAGCUGAAGAAGUGUAACUUCUGGCUCCGCGAGGUCGCCUUCUUAGGGCAUGUAAUUUCCGCGGGUGGAGUUUCUGUAGACCCGAGGAAAGUUGAGACAAUCAAGGAUUGACCGCGCCCGACGAAUGUCACGGAGGUUCGAAGCUUCGUGGGCUUGGCGGGCUAUUAUAGGCGGUUUGUGGAAGGCUUUUCCAAGAUAAUGAUUCCACUUACCCGCCUGACUAAGAAAGGCACCAAGUUUGUUUGGAGCGAAGAGUGCGACCGAAGUUUCAAAGAGUUGAAGCAAAGAUUGACUUCGACUCCGGUGAGAGCUCUACCGGUACAGGACGAAGACUUCAUGGUCUACAGUGAUGCCUCCUAUCUUGGAUUGGGGUGUGUAUUAUUGCAAAACGGGAAAGUGAUCGCUUAUGCAUCCCAUCAGCUGAAGAGCUAUGAAAAGAACUACCCCAUCCAUGAUUUGGAGCUAGCAGCGGUGAUUUUUCGCCUUGAAGCUGUGGAGGCACUACUUAUAUGGUGCCCAUUGUGAGAUCUAUACCGACCAUAAGAGCUUGAAGUACCUGUUUACACAGAAGGAGCUCAACAUGCGUCAGCGGCGGUUGUUGGAGCUGUUAAAGGAUGUGGUCGCGGACGCACUUAGUAGGAAGUCGGCGAAGAACCUCGCUUUUGAUGUUACCCAGCAAACACCCCUAUGGCUGGAUAUGGAGCGAUUGGACCUUGAAGUGGUCGCUCCCGAGGUCCCGACUCAGUUGAUGGCACUCGUUGUCCAACCGACCUUGUUGGAGAGGAUCAAAGAUCUGCAACCCGCAGACCCCGAACUCCAAAAUGUGCGGUGAAACAUCGAGGAAGGGCGUGGUGGCGAUUUCAAGGUAGACGCCGAUGGUACGCUUCGGUUUCGAAACCGAUGGUGUGUGCCGAAAGAUGGAGAGCUUCGUGAAUUGAUUCUACAAGAAGCACACCGAUCUCCAUAUGCCGAUCACCCGGGCGGCACCAAGAUGUAUCAAGGACUAAAAAUGCACUAUUGGUGGCCGAAAAUGAAAGGUGAUAUUGGAUGCUUUGUGGCGAAGUGUUUAACAUGACAACAAGUGAAGGCCGAGCGUCGAUUUCCAGCAGGAAAGCUUCAAAGCCUACCGAUCCCCGUUUGGAAAUGGGAGGAUAUAUCGAUGUACUUCGUGGUUGGCUUGCCUCGCUCAACAGGCGGCCACGAUGCAAUUUGGGUAAUUGUGGAUCGAUUGACAAAGUCGGCUCACUUCUUGCCGAUCCACACCACGUGGUCGGGUGACAAGUUAGCGCAGGUAUACCUUGACGACAUAGUGAGACCGCAUGGGGUGCCGAAAUCGAUCGUGUCGGAUCGUGACCCCCAGUUCACUUCACACUUCUGGAAGAGCCUGCAGGAAGCCCUUGGCACACGGCUCGACUUUAGCACCGCAUUUUAUCCUCAGAUCGAUGGGCAAACAGAGAGAACCAUUCAAACUCUGGAGGACAUGUUGCGAGCGUGUGUCAUCGACUAUAAGGGAAGUUAGUGUGACCACCUACCUAUGGCCGAGUUCGCCUACAACAACAGUUAUCAUGCUAGUGUGGAGAUGGCACCGUUCGAGGCUCUCUAUGGGCGGACGUGUCGGUCUCCUAUACACUGGAGCGAUGUGGGUGAACGUAUAGAGUUCGGCCCCGAUGUUCUGCGAGAGGCGGAGGAGAAAGUCCGCCUUGCUCGCAAGAGAUUGCUCACGGCGCAGUCGAGACAGCAAAGCUAUGCAGAUAGGCGCCGACGAGAUAUAGAAUUCGCGGUGGGUGACCGCAUAUUCUUGAAAGUUUCACCGAUGCGAGGUGUGAAGCGGUUUGGAGUACGGGAAAAACUAAAUCCCCGAUAUAUUGGACCAUAUGAAAUAUUGGAGUAAGUCGGCAUGGUGGCCUACCGACUUGCUUUGCCGCCGAAGCUUGCAGAUGUACAUAAUGUGUUCCAUGUCUCCAAUCUCCACAAGUAUAUUCACGACCCCGAGCAUGCAAUGCUAUAUGAACAGCCAGAACUUCAAGGAGACUUGAGCUAUGAAGAGUUUUCGGUAGGGAUUAUCGCCCGAGAGGUGCGAAAGUUGAGAAAUCGAAAAUUCCCUUAUGUGAAGGUUAGGUGGAGCAAUCAUGUCACGCCCCGCGACCAACCGCCUAUUUGGACCGGGUCGCGGCGCCAAUGACAGACCGCCGAACGGACCGGGAAUUCCCCUGUACGCGGACAGAGUCUCCCCAGUACGUCCAAGGCGUCGCAAUCCAAACAAUCAACGAAUGUUCCAACAAGGAACAGAUAUCAAUCCAGAUUGCAUAAGGAAGCAUCAAAUACAUAAUUUACUUGCUAUUACAAGCAUUCAUUUUACAACCACGUUUUACAUCACAAUUUCAGUUUACAUUUUUACUUCCAAAUUACAAUCUCACUAUUACAUCAGAGUUUGAUACAUUUUCAUUCCUUGUCUUCUAGACCCCUAAGCUAGACUGUCUCAGGGUACUGCUACCUCGGUCUCUGUGGUGGGGCGCUAUCUACUGAGCUACACCCUCGCCUCGCGCCGCCGCGCCGCACACGAACGACCUGAAAACCCCAAAACAACGUGGGGUGAGAACCAACUCCAUGGUUCCCAGUGGGUACGGCCACCCAAGGGAAAAGCUCGACCGAUAGGUCCGAGGAGGCACUGCAACAUGUUAGUUCAACAAUAUACAACAGAUAUAUAUAUUCAAUUGAAAUACAUGCCAUGCCUCACGAAAUGCAAUAUGCAAUAUCUGGAAUCAUGCAAGUAGGUUACUUUAACACUACUUAUGUUCUUAAUCAUUCUUUACUUUUGUCAUUUAAUGACUUUCUUUAGUUAUUAGCUAUUCUUUACUCGUAGCUUUUCUUUACUUGUUCUUUGUUCUUUAGCUAUUCUUUAUUCUUAACAUUCUUGAACCAUGCUAUAUCUUAGCCUUUGGCAUUCUACUCUAAGGUCACUUUACCUUAGUCAACAAAGCCACCCGACUCGGUCUUGAGUCAAUCAAUCGCGGAUAGUCCGCGCACUGUCUAGCUCGAGGUGAAGGAACUCUCACAUGCACCUCAGCUGGCAACAGCUCACCGUACUCCUGUCCUAGCCGUCUGGCGGCGAACGAAUCGCACCUCACCCAACAACGGCCUAGGUUCAAUGACUUAGUCACCCGGCGGCGAAAUCGUCGCACACACGCCACGACAGUGGUUCAGUCAACAGGCGGUAGGAUCCACAAACUGGCUAACCAUCCGGCGGCGAAAUCGUCGCACACACGCCACGACAAUGGUUCUCUAGCCCCUGGGCGGCGAAAUCGUCGCACACACCCGACACCACUUUGGGUGUAGCAGCAAGCAGCGGGAUUCCGGAAUCCAUAUCACAUCAACCAAGGGUUGGUCUUAACCCUAUGGAACUGACCUCUCUAGGUCUAAGCAUUUAUCUCCUAGGUCCAAUCGACUCUAGGUUCAUUGUCCUUUACACAACCUAAGUUAUUACUUUAGGUUUAUUGCUUUCACAUUCUUAACCUAGGUUUAUUACACUAGGAUCAUCAUUCUUUUCCAACCUAGGUUUACUUGACUCUAGGUUAAGCAGCUUUCAUUUCACAACCUAUGUCCUUUACAUUAGGUUCAACAUCCCUCUUAUUUAACCUAUGUUCUUUACAUUAGGUUCAACAUCUCAUUUAUUUAACCUAUGUCCUCGACACUAGGUUUAAUGCCACUCGAUCUAUAGGUUUAUUCAUGUCCACCUAUAUAUGUUCCUUACUUAGCAUUCUUAACAUGCACUUGCAUUUACUAUUCUUAUAUCAUGCUUAUCACUUAUACUUUAGCAUAGCAUCAUUCACUUUAAUCAUUCUAGGGUUAUCAACCUAGUUUCAUGCACAUUUAUCUCACAAUGUCAACAUGCAUUCUAUAUCUCAUUUUAACUUAUAUCAUCAAUAUGCAUUUCAUUCUAUGCAUUAUGCUUACAUGCAUUCACAUAAUUAUCUAGCUUUAUUCAACAUGCUCAUAAUGCAUUCUAUUUAGCAAUUACAUCACACUAUCAUCAUGCAUUAUUUAGCUACAUGCAUCAUUUACAUUUAUAUGCAUCAACUUUAGCAUCUACAUCAUAUUAUGCAUUUCUACUUAGCAUCAACUAUACCGAUCAUCAACAUGCAUCAACAUGAAAGUCUAAUAAUUAGACAUAAAGGCGACCUAGUCGCUUCGGUAAACCAACCCACCUUAACACGCGCUCCGAUUGCUUGUCGACACUUGCAAUCGGCCUCCCGCGGCACUCGGCACCCUUUGGGCCCGACAAGCUCUUGCGCCUCAACCGUGUUCCGCUUUGCAAAUCCGGAAAUUAUAGGUCUUCGGUUAUGCGCCACGAUGCCCCACGUCCUUUUUCACGACCUUACGACGCCGUCUCGGACCUACAGGCAAGAAUGAAGCCUCAAGGCUUAUUUCUUUAAUAACUUUAAAACGGCUCGACGAAUGCUCAAUCCGUCUUCGCCCACGCGUUUCUUGACCUAGCAAUUAGGUUUCCAAGCACUCAAAAUAGAUCAAAACCCCACAUUAGCAAAAUCCCCAUUUGGGAUGCCCUAAUGCAACAUAGGCUUAAUACCUCGGAUUUGAUCUAUAAAACAAGCAAAAGAAAGCUUGUUUAUCAUCUAGAAGCUCAUCUAGGAGCAUUCGGACUCAUUCUAGGGUAUUUAAAGCAAACCCUAGAAAUCCACCAUUAGAGCUUCAUGAGACAACCAUGGAUUUCAUGGUGUUCUAGCUCUUCACAAGGUUCUAAAGCUUGUAGGUAGAUCAAAACCAAAGAUCUAGGGUUUAAAACCCAUUCUACCAAAAUUCACCAUUAGAGGGAGCAAGAAGCUUACCUCUCAAAAGCUCCAAGGGAGAGAAGAAGAUGAAGAUGAAGACGAGGGAGAGGAUCUUCUACUUGGUCCUCACCAUCUUCCCCUUUUCCUUCUCUUUUUCUUCUUCUCUUUUUCUUUUCCUCUUCUUUCUCUUCUUCGGUUUGCACGAACAGAGGGAGAGAGAGGGAGCUGUGGGAGUGAGAGAGAGUGAGAUAAAACACUCUCUAAUAGUGUAUUGUAACAAUAUCCACCUAGCCCCUCAAUAUUUCCGUUUUUCCAACUUAACCUACUGUUCUGGGUCCCUUGUACCGGUACACGGGCUCUUGUACCGGUACAAGGCCCGACAGACAGCCAAAACCGAGAGCUGGCUCACUCAGUUUCGCGGGUUUUGUACUGGUACAAGGCCCCCUUAUACCAGUACAGCGCCGUAGCACUGUUCCGUGAUGGUUGUACCGGUACAGCCAUCAUGCUUGUACCGGUACAGCACCUGCAGAAUGCUGUUGUCACUUAUUUUCGGCUCUAUUUCGCGCCGUACGAUGUCAAGACCCUUCCAACUCCUUUGGAACUCACUUUUACUCUUCCAAUCAUGUUGGAAUACCAACGGAAACUUGUCCAUCCAUCUUGUUCCCAUACUUUAGUCAUUUUAGCUAAAGUUCAAUAAUUUCUUCCGAAACCUCGGGGGUUACAAAUCAUGAGGAUCGCGAAGCCACCUGGGAACUCGAGGAUUUGAUGAGAAAAUACCAUCCUCACUUAUUCGAGGAGUAAGGUAUGGAUUUAAGUUAAAGUUAAGAAUCGAGUUCGUUUCGAGGACGAAACUCCUUUUAAGGAGGGGAGGAUGUAAGGAAGUGAAUUCUCGAAAUCCGAGAAUUGUACUUCAUCCAGGAUCGACUAACUGUCGAGAGAAUACCCAUUUGGGAGUUAAAAAAUGUCCAAAACAUAAGAAGUGCUUUGGAGUUGAGUCCGCGAGAGCAAAUAGGCAAAAUCUGGACUCAGCAGAUUUUUGCUCUCGAGGACCGGUCCCUGGAAGGGAGGACCGGUCCCCGUAGCUGAGGGUCGUGGGGGAGGUCGAUGCGACCGGUCCCUGAUUGAGGGGACCAGUCCCCGUGUGCGACACCCGCGAGAGGAAGCCAAAUUUGGCUAAGUCCUGAAAGUUCCCCUUUCGGGAAUCGGUCUCUCAGGAAAGACCAGUCUCCCAGGGACCGGUCCCUCGGGUGAGGACCGGUUCCCGUACGCGAAAAGUCCCCAGGCCGCGGGGAGGGCUCUCGGGGACCGGUCUCCUCGACCAGGGACCGGUCCCUCUGGGCGAAAACAGCCCGGGGACAGCUGCUUGAGAGGUGAAUAGUUGAGGGGUUUGAGAGCAAAAUUGCCAUCAUAUGAGGGGUGUAUAUGGGAAAUAACCCUCUCCCUCAGCUCCCUCUCAUCUCUUUCCCUCUCUCACACUCUCUUUCUCUCUUGCUCUCUCUCUCUCUCUAGAAAAGAAAGGAGAAGAAGAAGAACAAGAAGGAGAGGAAGGAAAGGAAGAAGAAGAACAAGAAGGAGAAGAAGAAGGAGAUCAAGAGGAAGGCUUUGGACACUUUCAUCUCCCUCUCCUCUUCUCUUUGGUGUAGCACAAGAGGUAAGCUCUUGAACCCUAGUAUGGUAGAACUUAGGGUUUUGGGUUUUGAUGCUUUGGAAUGGGUCAAAUAGACCCUAAGCAUGCUUCUAAGUAGAUCAAUUCUAAGAAUCUAAGGAUUUAUUGGUGGUUUGCUAUAGGUGCAAACCUAGGGCUCCAAAAUGGGGUUUUUGUGAAAGUAUGAGAUUGAUCUCAUUUGAAACCUUGGAAACCCUAUUGCUAGGUCAAAAAACGUGGGGGCGAAGUCGGUUUUGGCAUUCGGCGAGCCGGCGUGAAGUUCUCGGCAAAAUAGGGCCGGGUUAGCGUUGAUUUGGGCAAGGAAGGCUAAAGCCUUUUUGUAAAGUUCGCCGAGAAGGAUUUCCGAAGCCUCUACAUCGAUUAAAGGUGGGGGGUGCCAUCCCGAAGCUUUCGGACUCCUUUCUAUGUCUUAGAAUUGCAUUUAAUCUCAUCUCUUCAUGUUGCAUUGUAGGAUUGCAUAGUAACUCCAUUCCUUAUACUUUCUAAAUGAUAACCUAGUAUACUUGGAAUGCUUGGUGACUUAGAUAGGUGAGGAUUGGGUCGGAACGUGGAUCCUAUAAUGCAAAAGAAAAGAGAUGUACCCGAUGGGGGUGUUGAUGACAUAAAAAGUAGUGUUAAUGUCAAAGAACAGACGAGUGGCAUCCAAAUGUUAAAUGAUCACGAGUGGCAUUAAUGUAGUGUAAAUGACACUAGAGGUUUGAGAACCUAAAGAUAGAUGGAUCCCUUAGAAAAUGCCUUGUGGAUAAAAAACUUAGUAAACCUAAGUAACCUCACGUGGAGAGGUUGUCGAUGAGUCAAUUGAGCCAUUGACCCUAGUUGUAGGGCAUCCUCACUUGGAGAGGAUUUGAUUGGGCUGUGGACCCUAGUUUAUAGUGCUUCCUCACUUGGAGAGGAUUCGAUUGGGUUAUUGACUCUAGUUGUAGAGCAUCCUUACUUGGAGAGGACUUGAUUGGGUUGUUGACCCUAGAUGUAGGGCAUCCUCACUUGGAGAGGAUAGAUCUAGCUCACAGUCUGCGUUUGGGGUGGUAUAGCCAUCCUAUCCCCACAUGGAGGGGAUUGUUAUCGAGUACUCCGGAGUGUCGCGCGACUAGGACCACUUGGAGGUCCAGACCACAUGGAGGUCCGCAGACGAUCCCGGGCUUGGGUGCACUUGGAGCUCCCUCCCCACUUUGGGAUUGAAGGGCGAGUUAUAGGCGAGCCCUAGGGCCUCGCCACAGAUUGGGUAAAUGGAAAGGUAAAGGUUUAUCAAUGUCAUUGAACAUUACUAUUCGAACAGGGAUCGAAUUUGUUAGCAUGGUAGCAAACCUUUAUUAUAUGAUGCAUGCAUUCAUAUUCAUGAUUAUGGGCAUAGUAGCAUAGUUUUUCUACUAUUGCAUUUACAGUUUUCAGAUACAUAUCUAUCUAUCUAUCUGUUGUUACUUGUGCCCACUUGGACCUAGUGGGGAGAUCUGCAGAGUCGGCGGUCGAGCCCACUGGGAACUAUGGAAGAUAGUUCUCACCCCACUCUAUUUCCAAUGGUAGGUACAGAGCUGCCGAGAGAGGACCGCGGUAAGGGCAUCGCGCCCGAUCAGUAAGACCGUGGUAGUAUAGUAGCUUUCCUUUUUGCAUUAGUACACCUAUGUAUUGAGAGAGAUUCAUUGUAGGUGAGGACUUGGAUUAUGUAUUUUGGAUGAAUGAUGUAAUUAUUUAAAGAAAAUGAUGUAAAUGAAAAUGAUGAACUAUUGUAAUAGUUAGCAAAGUACUCUCUUUAUUUCACAUAUUAUUCCUGUGGAUUACUUGCUCUCGCAGUUGCCGGCACUAUUUGUGCCCCGUCAAAUGUGUACGUUUAGAAUUUAAAUUCCUGAAAAAUUCUUGUACACAUUCUUGUUGUGAGCCUUGAGCGGGCAAGUGAGGUGCUGUCCGUUCGGCGGCCCACCCGGCGCGCCCGAAUCGUACCAAAUUAGUAGUGAUUUCGGGGCUGGGCGUGACACGCUCGAGAUCUUCUCUCUCUCGCUCUAUCGCUCAGCCCUCUCUCUCUCUCUCUCUAUCCCGCAGGCGCCGGAAAAGAGGAGAGAGAUCAAAAAAAAGGGGGAAAGGGUGAGGAGGAAGAAAAUGGGAGUGAGGAUAACACUGAUUUUUUUUUUCAAAAGCUAACUAAUAUCAGUAGGAUAGUUGUAGGAUGUACAACCCAAGAUGGGUUGUACCAGUAGCACUACUCAUAUAUAUAUAUAUAUAUAUAUAUAUAUAUAUAUAUAUAUAGACUUUGAGGAAAUUGAAGAUAAUAUACUCUACCCAAUUUUGUUCCGAUCAAAUAAUUAUCCUAAUCCUGUUAAAUACGAUUGAAGAUAAAAUUAUGAGAAAUUGAUAAAUAAAUUUUGACAAAUCCCAGAUAAAGUUAGUCUAGAUUGUUAGGUUAAAUUCUGGAAUUUGAUUUCCUUUCACAGUUUUUUGAUUAAAUCUAUUAGAAAAUAUUAAAUUAGAGACGAAACUAAAGUAAAAGAAAAGGUGAUUUCAAGAAAUAACCUAAUGAGGCAUGUAAUGCACUAUUCUAGAGUAACUUUAGCCCCUCCACAUGCGAGUCUCCGACUAGUUGCUAUCGCAAUAGAACACCUCGAAUUAUCUCGAUCUCCUUGAUUGCAGAGUCUUAAAGGAGUGCUUAAUUGAACAUCAAUCUUGCUUUCAAAAUCUCAACUUUAAAAAAUUAAAUAAAAUAAAGCGGAGAAAGGAGGAACAAAAAGGCAAAAAAAAAAAUCUAUUAAUUAGGAUCUAGUGAAAAAGUCGAUCUUUUAUUCCUCUGUUUUAUAAUAAGUUAACGGUCCAAAAUACCGUCAUAGGGCGUUCAGCCCAGGGUACGUUACCUCCUUUUCCGGGUAGAGGAGAGAGAUUGAUGAUACAUGAUCCAAAUUUUCUUAUAUUGUAUUUAAAUUAAAUUUUUAAUUAUUCAUUAGAUUAAGCCUUUAAGUUAAAUCUUUUAACUCAAACUAACUCCGACAAUUGACAGACGAGAACUAUGAUCAGAUGUUUACCACAACAUAGUUGGUAAGCUCUUUUCUCGGAAUAAAGCUAAUCACAUCUUUCCAAUUGGACUAGAAGAAAGCGCCUAGAGUGCAACAACAAAAGAAAAUCUCUACAGCACAUUCAAAACCAUCAGUUUCUUACACUACGGAACAUAUCCAAAAUCCAAAGUCUCUUUAACUGUUGUCACUUUCCAGUCCAAUUUUCUCAUUUAAUUCCAAGUUUGAUUAAUAACUACAUAAGACAACUCCUAACCCAUCAUUAAAAUUAAGUUGUCUGAUGAAACGAUAAUUAGGUAUUACGUAAGACCUACUACUAGCCGUUCCUAUAAUGUGGAAGAAGCAGCAGUAGUUAUAUAUAGGUAUUUGAUACAAAAUGGUGAUAGUGACAGACAAGAAUCACAAGAGCAGGAGCAUUAAAUCAGGUCUGAGAACCUCAGAUCUGAUGGACCAGGGCCCAAAAUCCCUUUGUCGUACUCCGUAGUAAUAAUAUUUCCUGUUCCCGGGUUUGCUUCUGUAUGCUCGGGUCUCUCCUCGUCUAUUGAAGAAGGGGCCUGCUGCCUCCGGCUACUCCCCAACCAUUCAUGCUGUCAACAAAAUAUGAAGAGAAAAAAAAUACCCCACUGAAUAUUGGUAUUGAUACUACCAAAAUGUCAUCUACAAGUACAAAUAAGACACUCACAUCUUCCUGGAUGUGGUUUCCAUCUUGUAAAUUUGGGGUCAGAAUUGGGGGGUUGACAUCUGGAUCAGGUUUGUGAAAUACAAAUAUAGAAUACAAACCUGCAACAGUUUUGAUGCUAUAGUUAAUACUGGAUCAGAUAAGGUAAAAGGAUUCCACAAAUUAAGUAUUGUUGGAAAGAAAUUCGUGCUAGUUACUUAGUAUAUCAAAGGAUCGAGCAAGAAGUCUUCCACGGGGAUCCACCAAAUUGGUACCAUAACUAGAGAGUAUCCCAGCAAAUUGUGCUCUAAAAACAAAGUUAAGUGCACCUUUAGAUUUGCAAAAGCAUGAAAUAACAACGUGAAAAAUAAAAAUUAAUAGAACAUCACCCGGUUAUGUCCCGCAAGAAGCAGCAUCACCUUCUAAUAAAAGCACAAGAGCUUUAUAGCCAUCUCAAUUGAAAGGAAUACAAGGAUGCAACACAGACCUCGUAAGCAGGGAAUGAGUUGCAUUUGGACAGGAAUAAUAAAAGACACAAUGCAUUUAUUUGCAUGGAUCACACAUAUUAUUAGUACAGAAACUGAAAGUGAAUUGGCAUGUUAUAUUUUAUCCAUUAGCGUGGCGUAUGUAACUUUUCAUUAGUAUUGUGACUUAUCAAAGCCAUUCAUUUAGGGCUCAAGUUAGGCUCGAGCUUGAAAUUAGGCUUGAUCCGGCACAGCUAGAAUAAAUUUAAUCAAGUUUGACCAAAAUUUUAGGCUCGAAAUUAAUUUAAGCUUAAGCUUGAACACCGGUAAGCUCGAUUAAGCUCUGCUGCUCAUUUCCACUCCUACAUAGACCUAGUGAGUGGUAAACGAGUUCUUUUUUGACUCUUUACAUCCAAACAGGUAAUAAAAGAUGAGUUACAGAGAAAAGCAGAUCCAGGCCCAAGGAUUCUAGACUACCAAACAUUAUAAAGUUCUUUGGCGGGGUUGCAAGCUCCUCAUUAGAAACAGCUACCAAUAACCUGCAAUCUGGUGAUUAGGCUAAAUUAACCAGGAUGUAUUCCCCAAUUCCCAGCCAUCUGUUUUUUCUCUGCUGACUAUCUUACUCGAACCUGGCUACACACGAACACCCUACUCCUAUUUCUCCACAACUACACAAUUUUGUUCAUUGCAAUCAUGCAAAAUUGCAAUCACAAUAUCUACACAAUUCAGAAACCAAGUUUUGAAGUUUAGAAUUUUGAAUAUCAAUCUCCAUUAACCCCUUCAAUUAGAAAUUAAUUCAUCUAGUGAUUGCUAAAGGCUAAAGGCUAAAGGCAAAGGUAUUAACGCCUUCUCCUUACCAAGACUACAGAGGAAACAUAUUCAUCAUGGAAAGCAAUAACUAAAUGAAAAUGUGAAUUAACUGCAUUAACAACUCUUUUGGAAUUGUUCACUGUUGGUUGUAUCAUUGUUAUUCAUUUAACAUUAGCUAAUAUUUUUUUUAUUUUCUUUUUCCUUUUACUGUUAGUACUUGUGCUAAUUGACAAGCAUUACCUUUCUGUAUAGGUUAAUUGGCUGGUUUAACACCAUUUUCAGGAGCAUGAAAUACUAACUAGACACUUUGAUUUCAUUUGAUCAAUUAUAGCUUGCUUAGAUAUUUAUAAGGUAUCGUUUGGUUCGGGGAUAAGCAAAAAGUGGCUAUUCCAGGGAUAGGUAAAAAUUGAGGUAUAGGCGGGGAUUAGAUCAAUUUUGCGUUUGGAUGAAAAUUGGGUUAUUUCUGAGAAUAAAAAAAUAGCGUUUGGUUAGGUAAGAUGGAAUAAGAAGGAUAGUAGGUUUUAUAAAUAAAAAGUAAUGAUAUUAUCUUCUUAUUAUAUUUGAAUUUGAAUUUUUAAAAUUUUAAAUUUAUAUUUUUAAAUUUAAAAUUUUAACUUUGAAAUUUUAAAAUUUUAAAUUUAAAAUCUCAAAUUUUAAAUUCAAAAUUUUAAAUUUUAAAAUUCAAACUUUAAAUUGAAGAAUCAAAUUUAAAUUUUGAAAAAAUAUAAAAUAUAAAUUUUAAUUUCAAAAUUAAAAUAUCAAAAUUUAAUUUAAAAUUUAAAAUUUAAAACUUUAAUUUUGAGGAUUAUAAAUUAUAAAUUUUUAAAAUUUAAUUUUUAAUUGUUAAAUUUUAAAAUAAGAACUAGAGGUGGGCACAUUAAUAAAAAUAAUUAUUAUAAUAAAUUUUUAAAUUUUUAAAAUUUACUUAAACUUAAAUUUAAUAAAAAGAAUUUAUUAUAAUAUUAAUAUAAUUAUAAAAUUUAUUAUAAUAUUUAAAUAUAAAUAAUAUGUAUUAAUUUAGUACAAUUAAUAAUUUUAUAAUAAAAAUAAUGUAUUAUAAUAUAUAACAUAUUAUAUUUAUUUAAUUUAGUUUUAAUUCAAUUUAUAAUUUUAAUUAAGUUUGAAAUUAAGCGUUGGAAUAGUACUAUUCCACCAAAAGGGUGGAAUAGUACUAUUCCACCAAAAGGGUGGAAUAGCAAAUUCCUUGCAAUUCCGGGAUAAUCGGGAAUAGCAAGGUUUGACCUGGAUAAAAUAUCCCGGUCAAAUUUCACCCCGUUUGGUGGAAUAGCGGGGAUAACGAAAGUUAUCCCCGCUUAUCCCUUGAACCAAACGGGGUAGAAACUAAAGAAGUAGUGCACUGUACUUUUGCAAAUAGCAGAGUUCCAACAAAAAAUAGUAUUAAAUACUAUUUUGAUGAUUCUGGUUGUGUUUAAGGGGUGUUAGAGUGUUUUCGGCGCAAGAACAACAUGAAAACGGAUUUUGGAAAGCAAAAUAUGCAAAAUUUGCAGUUUUGCUGUGAGUACCGGUACUGAAAUUUGGGGUACCGGUAAUCAGCUGCAAGUUUGGCCGGAAAAGAUCUCGGAUUGUACGAAAUUUUACCACAGUACCAGUACUAAAGUUUGGAGAACCAAUACUAAAGUUUGAAAGUCUCGGUAUGAAAUAGAGACUAGAUGAUUUCAGGGUUCGGGUUCAGUGGAACUGCCCUUGGGUAAUAAUACACAAGGGAAGUGUACCAGAACCGAUGUUCAAGUACCGGUACUUAGCACUGCGAAACUUGAAUUUGCACAGAUUGCAAAUUCCAAUUGUUGGAGGGUUUAUGGGCAUAUUGUUACAUUUAUUUAUAUCUCCUCUCCUUUUUCUGUCAUUCUUCACUAGCACAAGAGAGGAGGUGAGUUCAUCUGCUUCUCUUCAUUUCUUCUCCAACUUCAUCUUACCCCCAUUUCUUCUUCUUUAUUUCCCCCUCCUUGAAGCUCUAAAAUCAUAGGCUUGGAGCGGAGCAUUGGGCUUGGAAGAAGUGGCUUGCAGCUUCCAAUCCUCAACUCGAGCAUCCUAAUUUUGGAUUAGAGCUUGGAUCAAGGUUAGCAAUUAAGUCUAGACUCUCUAAUUAGUUUGAUAUAAAGAGUAAAUUGAGGAUUUUCUAGUUCAUGUUAAACUAGGGCUAAAAAUUGGGAAUUUUCAAAUGCGGGGCUUUUUGUUGACAUUGAUGGGUGUAGAACCUUCUUAAAGGUUGGAAUUGAAGUCCCAACAACUUGGAUUGGCGAAAUUUCUAAGAUAACUUUUCACCUAUUUUCUAAGUAAUCUUUGGUUAAGUUAACUUGGUUAAGUUAACUUUUCACCUAUUUUCACCUAUUUUCUAAGUUAACUUUUCACCUAUUUUCACCUAUUUUCUAAGACAACUUGGUAAAGAUAACUUUUCACCUAUUUUCUAAGUAAUCUUUGGAGAAUUUCGGGAUGAAGUUUUUCGGAGGUUGUAACCUCUUGAAAAGUUCUUCUAGGGAUAAGAGAAGGUGGACAAUUUAGUUCAAGAGAUCUAAGGGUUUUUGCUGACUAUUCGAUAGGUUUGACCUAAUCAAAAUCAGUGAACCCCCUAUGCUUUCUACUUCUUUCAGCAUUUGGAAUUAUUGUAGAUGAUCUAAUACAUCACCACAUGCAUGUCAAUCAUAAACUCCAUAGUAUAUGUAAUAUAUCGAAACCUCAGUAGAGAUUAUCGAACUUUAGCCAAAUUGACUAAAAUAUGCAAAAGAGAUAAUUGGACAAGUUCCAAUUAGCAUUCCAACAAGGUUGGAAGGAUUAAAAGUGAGUUUAAAAGAGUUAGAAAGGUUUUUGCAUUGAUCGGAGCGAAAUUGGAUCGAAAAAGAUGCAAAAUCUGAAAUCUGGGCAUUUUGUACCGGUACAGCAUCAAUGUUGUACCGGUACACAUGUGGUAACCGAGGGGAAGCUGCUCUCGGAUUUGAGAAAGUUUGGCUGUGUUACCGGUGACACCCCUGGUGUGUACUGGUAUACUUUUGCAAAACCCGAACAGAUGGUCUCGGGUUUGGUUCUGCGCGAUCGUGUUACCGAUGACAGAAAGGCCUAUACCGGUACACUUUGGUCUGGCAGCAACAUUGAGGUCUGUUGCAAAUACAAGUUUUUGGGGGGCCUUUUUGCUAUUGUAGCACCUUAUAAAAUACCCCAACACCCUCUAUUCUCUCUCACUGCAGAGAAUACAUCUCCAACCCAUUUCUCUCCCUUUCUCUCUCUAGAAAUCUCUCCAAGGAGCAAGGAGUAGAAGAAGGAGAAGGGAUUUUGGUGGAGUUUUGGAGGAUUUGAAGGUUUAGAGGCUCUCCUACAAGGUAGAGUUGGGUGAGCUUUGGGCUAAGGUGAGUUUUAUACAAGAAUGUUUCUAGGGUUUGGAUUUACACCCUAAGUCUUGGAGUUUUGAUCUUCUUGCAAGGCUAUAAGAGCUUAGUAGAGGCCUUGAAACACAUGAAAUCCAUGGUUUCUUCAAGUGCUCUCAUGGUGGACUUCUAGGGUUAGCUUUAGAUGCCCUAGGAAUGAUUCGAAUGGCUUAGAAAUGGUGUUAGAGAGCUUCUUGGAUGGUUCUAAGCUUGUUUUUGCUUAGCUCCAAGAUCAAUCCAAGAAAUCUAGCAAUAUGACAUUGUUAGGGCACCAAAUUUGGGGCUUUUGCCCUAGGUUGUUUCCGAGAUAAAUUGGCCUUGUGGAAACCUAAUUGGGGAUAUAAUGAACGGGUUGAAAAACUCAGUUCGUCGAAACAAAGAGUCUAUGUAAAGUUAUUUAGUAAAAAGUCUAAUUUGGCUCUAUUUGGGUACAGAUCGCCGCAGCACGCGGAAUAAGAGUCUAAAAAUCACGAGAAUCGAACCCCAACUACUUUGCUACUAUUCGAGGUGGGGGGUGCACUCCGGAAUCGUUGGAUUCCCCUUUAUGUCUAUAUCACCUUUUAUUGAGCAUGUGUGUCAAUAGUCAUUCAUGCAUAAUAGGGUAAUUUACAUGUGAAUAUUGGUUGGGCUUCAAUUAUAUGCUUCUAACGUAGAUGAACAUAGUGAUUGAUAUGAACCAUAGAGGACAUGUUUGUUGGAACCCUAUACAUGUGUGAAUGUGAGAUUUGGACUAUAAUAAUAGUAAACAAAGGUGACAUUAACAAUAGAGACAAGAUUGGCAUUGAGAAAUGAAUCGUUAAACAAAGUUUAACCAUUAGUGGCAUUAUGGUAAGUGUAGCCUAGAGUGUGGCAUAUAUGACAAGGUAGAAACCUGUUAUAGUAUUGUGGCAUUGUGACAUUGCAGCUAUACGUCCUCAAGUUGAGGAUUGGAUCGAUACUCACGAUAAGUCUUGGCUUGAAAGAGGUAGCUCCUCCUCAAGCGGUGCACUCCGGAGUAGGUCACCACGGGGAUAGUGGCCCCGAAGACGGUCCUUCGAGUGGAAGUGCUUGGAGCCUCCUCGAUCAAUAGGGAUUUCGGGUUGUGAGUUUUUGGGGCUAACAAGGUUAACCGGUACAAUUGGGUAAAAGCCAAGGUAAAUUGUAGAAAAAGCACGCAUGCAUAUUCAUCGUUACAUGAUUAUAUAUCUAUUUGUUGACAGUUUUCUUGCAGGCAUAGUAUUAGCAUUAGUAUGGUUACUAUUCCCUUUUCUUGAAAUACUUAUGCCUAAAUAGACCUAGUGGGUAAGUCGGCGAGAUCGGUGGCCGAACCCACUGGGAACUUCGUUGUAGUUCUCACAUCACUAACCCUACAGAUUCGAGUGCGAGCGGGGCGGCGGAGGAUCGAGGCAAGGGUAUUGCGCCAUAGCUAGUGGCCACCGAAGUACAUACAUAGUCAUUCCCUUUUGAUCAUGUAUCAACUUUUAUUUUGUUGAUCAAGAGUUUAAAAGUUGAGAACAAUUCAUGUAUUUUGGAGAAUGAUUAUGAUGUAAAAAGAUAUUAUGAAUGAAAGCAAAUGAAUGUAAUAGUUUUAGUUUACUAGUAUUUGGUUUAAAUGUAAUUAAAUAUUAUGUAUGGCUGUAUGUUUUAGCUUAGAGCUUUCGCUUCCGUUGUUUCUUGCCCUCGUGCAAGUUUGUAUAAUUGCAAAUCUCUUUGUUUCAUUGCUUAAUUAUACUUGUUGUUGGAGCCUUGGGCGGGCAGGGAAGGCCCUGUCCGUUCAGCGUCUGUUGACGUGGCCCGAACCCGACCAAAUUGGCAGGGAGUGGGGCGUGACAGUAUAUGCCUUAAAUAGCAUGAUGCAUAAACUUCAUUAGUACAUGAGUUUAUUGAGACAUUGGCUAUCUAAGGGUUUUUGCUGACUAUCCGAUAGGUUUGACCUAAUCAAAAUCGGUGAACCCCCUAUGUUUUCUACUCCUUUCUUGUCGCAAAUUCUUGCUUCAAUAUAGCAUUUGGAAUUAUUGUAGAUGAUCUAGCACAUGACAUCACCACAUGCAUGUCAAUCAUAAACUCCAUAGUAUAUGCCUUAAAUAGCAUGAUGCAUAAACUUCAUUAGUACAUGAGUUUAUUGAGACAUUGGCUAUCUAACUAGUGGUUGCAUGAGUACUUCACUCUUUAAAUACCUUGUUGUAAGUUGAUAUGUACAAAUUCAUACUAGACAUGAAUACACUUGUUGCUACUUGGUCAUAUAACCUAACAUUGGCGAAUUGGUAUUUGGUCGAGAGCAUGAACAUAAGAACUCUUAUAUGACAAUGUAUGAGUAAAUGGGAUAGAAUGUCUUUGGACAUUGUGCAUGAGACUAUCUUUUGCAAGAGCCAACUAUGCUCAUCUAGCACAUCGCUUGGUAAGGUCACUCCCUACAAGCACGGUCCUUUGGAGGUAUUGCAAUCGCAACACCAGCUAGUCUUUGCUUUUUUAGCGCCGAUUGGGAUGUCGAGGGAAAGGAACAGCACCAUGGUGGGGAUGCCUACCAUGGGACCAUGAGGCACAAUGCAGGCUAAGACUAUACUUUGUGCAAGUCCUCGAGAGAUUUGGUAAAACAUGGAUAUUUGAACAUCAAAAAAUAAUUAUGCAUGCUUUAUAGUUGGGUUCACAUGGAUUAUACUUCACUUGCAUGAAGGCAUGGAAGUAGCUUAUGUUUAUACCAUAUUUGUUUCGGUUAUCUCUACUUCAGGAUUUAUUAUAGGCUAAAUUACAUAAAACCCCUCUGUCAAUGCCCGUUUUUUCACUUUCUCCCUCCGACUUUUAAAAUCCUACAUUUUGCCCCCUUAAAAAAUAAGAAAUAUUCACUUCAACUUCCGCCGUCAAUAUUCCGUUAGGGUUCGAUCUAUAUCCUAUUAUUUUUUUUAUACCCAAAAUACCCUCAGGAGUCAGGGCCUUUCUCUCAACAGUGCAGCCUCCUUCUUCACGAACAAUCUCCACGGCCAUGCCGCCUCGCCCUCACCCACCUCUCCAUCCAUGCCCAUACCCGCGCCCUCGCCCUCCUCUGUCUCCUCGCCUUCACACACCCUUUCAUCCACACCCACCCCGACCCCCUCUGUCGUCAAAUGAAGGGGCGGCACAGGUGUAGGAGGAGCAGGGAGCAGGUGGCAAGCGGAAUCGAAGUUGGAGUCGAGGGAGGCACAAAGGACGAAGGAAGGGCUGCCGAUGAAGGAGAAUUGGGGAGGAAACGAACAAAACAAAGGCAAUUUGGUCAUUUUGUCGUUACAGUUAACACCAUACAUCCCUGUGAACAUUUUUUAUUUUUUAAAGGGGCAAAAUGUAUGUUUUUAAAAGUCAGAGGGGAAAGUGAAAAAGCGGGUAUUGACAUGGGGGUUUUCUCUAAUUUAGCUUUAUUAUAUUCAUGCCUUAAUUCACCUAGUGGAGUAGUACGCCCGUCUUAGUGGCGAUACCUACUAGGAACUAUAUUUCAUAGUUCAAGCUCCCAUUGUUUGGUUGUUUUCUUUUCAAAGCCCUCUAACACAAGAGAUGCCUUGGAUAGCGGCAAGGGCAUUGCUAGUAGCUAGAGUCGUCCUGCCUUUGGACUUCAUAGAGGUUGCCUAUGUUGCUUUUACAUUUUUGGAGGUCCAUGUGAGAGAUGGACGUUGUAUAUAGAUUAGACUAGAUUAUUCAUGUAUGAGAGAGUUAUAUUUUGAAGGUGUAUUGUACUUGGCGUUGUAUUUUUCUUCGGAGAGCUGCUUUAUGUAGAGAUGUAUGUUUUAUUGUGGAACUGUCAAUGUAUGAUAAUAACCUUAAGUUAGUUUUGUUUAUGUUUUAUAUACUCUUGAUAUCCAACAUGUAGUAACUUGAUAUUAUCUUGGUAGAUAUUGAUUGAUUGUAGAUGCCUUGCGUGUUCGGGGGCGGCCUUGUGUACUCGGCAGGUCUAUCCACGUGCCGGGGGUAAUUUUCCACUGCGGCUCCGAAAUGUGACUGGUUGAGUUGGUAUCAGAGCCUAGGAUGUGUCUUAGUUGGACCUAGUAAACUCUAGGCUGCAAUUGGACCUUAAGGACUAAGAGCAUAAGUGACGGGGGAUGUAUGACUAAUGGCCAAAAGUGAUGUGAUUAGGUCUUGUUGAAAUCUCUAAUAUUGAUUAGAGUAUGAUCAAAGUGGUUGCAUCUUUGAUUUCCUUGGAUAAUCACAUUGGUUAUUUUAAGGGAAACGGGUCAGGAAAAAGGAGAAUAACAAAAGGAAUUGAGAUAAGAUAAAUAAAAGGAUAAAAAAGGAAAACCGAUUAGUGCUCAGUGGACAAGCUAGAUAGCAUCAAUUUAAUCAUUGGUGUUGAAAUGAUCAGGGGGUGGCUCGGGGGCAGCAAUCGGUAGCAGCGUGGCAAGCCAGUGGUGGAGAUGUCCACAGGCAGCAACGAGACAUCGAGACGGGACGAAGGCUUUGGAGGCAGUAGGUGGCCGCAGCUCCAAGUGACGGCGGCUGCGGUGGCAGAGGUGGCGUCAGUGGUCGAUGACGACACUAACUAUGGAUGCAGGCAACAGGGAAAAAGAUGAAAGGACUCGCUCCCUACAAACUCGCUCCGGUCGACGCAUAAAUGCGAAGUAGAGGACACAUCUCAAUGGCUAAAUAAUAAUAUUCAUCUUCAUUAUUUUUAAUCGUUCUAUAGAUAUGCUUAUUUAAAGAGCUUUCCUAGUAGAUGAAUAAGCUCAAAUAAGAAACAGAUGGAUCAGCUCAAAAUAAAAUCUCAACCUAAACAACUAUCCUAAGUCCUAACAGCAUGGAAAAUUUCAUAAUAAAAUCCCAACCUAUCCUAACAGAAUAGAAAAUCUCAUAAUAAAAUCUCAACCUAUCCUAACAAAAGAAACUAAAAUCUCAACUUACCAAAAUAAACAUAUUUUAAAACAAAAAUCACACAAUCCUAGAUACUUCUAGAAACUAAUAGGUGUGAUUCAACCAGAACCCAACCCGGAUUGAUCAAGCCACAUGCUCAAUUUGCGUUUGCGGCGUCGACUACGUUCGUACACCCAAAAGUGGACCCGAUCUGCAUCAGGAAAAGGCAAGAGACAAGCAACCAAGUGUUCAUUUAGCAUAACAAGCUCAAGGAGGCCACCCAAGCAUCCGAGAGCUGAUCUCAAGGGCGCGGCUCUUCUUCUCGGAGGACCUAUGAUUGUAGACAGCCACCCCGAUGUGUGAUCUACAGUGAACCACAUGUGCCUCUGCAAUGCCCGCAACAUGGAGGAAAGUGCUAUCUUUUCGGCCAGGUAGGCCACUUUUAGUCCAAGUGCCCCAGGGGUGCAGCAGCGCUAUCAUCAGCAUCAAUUCCAGUUUCAUCGAGGUAGAGCCCAAGGACCACCUACCUUUGCCCUGAAAAGAUGACCACUUGCACUAUGAGAGUUUGAGAGGUCACGACAGGCGCCUAGUGGGAGGAUGUAUGCGGCUCAGGCAAAGCAUGCACCCGCAAUGGACGUUGUAGAUGUCAUUUUAGUUAAUGGUAUUAAAGUUAGAGCAUUAUUUGAUACCAUUGUUUCACAUUCACUCAUCGAUCGACUAUUCACCGUAUUGCAUGGCCUUACGAUGAUUCAUACACCACACCCAAGACAAGUCUUGGUCCCCGGUCCUACCGUUGAUAUCAAGGAGUAUUGCCUAGGCUGCCCUGUUAGGGGGUGCACGAUAGGAUUAUGCCAGCGAAUUUGUUGGCGCUGCUCAGACUAGGAUAGCUUAAUGUAGUCUUGGGUAUAGAUUGGCUCACUAGAUACCACGCUACCAUAGAUUGUUAGAGCAGAACGAUGAUCUUCCGUGAGCCUUGAUAGGAGUUGAUUUUCAAGGGUUGUAGGGGCUCGCUUUUUGCGAUGCCGAUUUCCUCCGCUCGAGCCAAGCAAUUAAUCAAUAGGGGAUGUAUAUCCUUUUUGGCGACAGUUUUGGAUAGGAGCGAUGAGGCUCUGAGGCUUGAGGAUAUCUCUAUUGUACGAGAAGUCCCUGAUGUUUUUCGGCAGAGUUGUCGAGUAUGCCUCUAGAUCGAGAGAUCAAGUUUGUGGUAGAUUUGAUUCCUGUAUCUGCCCCAUAAGAUGGCUCCGGCUGAGUUGAAGGAGCUAAAGGCGCAAGUAUAGGUUUUGUUGAAGAAAGCCUUCAUCAAGCCUACUCUUUCACCUUAGGGAGCAUCGGUGUUGUUCGUAAAGAACAAAGAUGUAUCACUUCAGCUUUGUACAGAUUAUCGUGAACUCAACAAAGUCACGAUCAAGAACAAGUUUUUAUUGCCACAUAUUGAUAACCUCUUUGAUUGACUCCAAAGGUCAAAGAUGUAUUCGAAGAUUGAUCUUCCAUCAAGAAAUCAUCAACUUAAGUUUAAGCAGGAGAAGGUUCAUAAGACGGCUUUUAGGAUACGAUAUGGAUAUUAUGAGUUUACCAUGAUGCCGUUUGGACUCAUUAAUGCUUCAGUGGCGUUCAUGGAUUUGAUGAAUCGUGUUUUCAAGCCUUUCUUGGAUCGUUUCAUCGUUGUUUUCAUCAACGAUAUUUUCGUGUAUUCUUGAAGUGAUAAGAAGCAUAAAGAUCACUUGAGGCAAGUGUUACAAAUCUUUCAGGAGAAGAAAUUCUUCGCCAAAUUGAAGAAAUGCGAGUUUUAGCUUCAAGAAGUAGCAAUCUUGGAACAUGUGAUAUCAGAAGUCGAAAUUACAAUUGAUCCUAAGAAAAUUGAAGCAAACAAGAAUUGACUUAGACCAACCAAUAUCAAUGAGAUUCAUAGUUUCCUCGGUCUAGCAGGAUAUACCAACGAUUUUGAGGGAUUUGCGAGGACUUUCACUCCCCUCACUCAACUCACAUAAAGAAAUGAAAUUCAUUUGGAGUAAUGAGCAUGAGAAGAGUUUUGUAGAAUUGAAGAAAAGGUUGACAACCCUAUUUUGACAUUGCCGGUGGCGAGCGUCAUAUAUGUAGUAUAGUGAUGCUUCCUCUAGCGGAUUGGGAUGUGUAUUGAUGCAAAAUGAGAAGAUGACUCAUAUCUCUCGUCAAAUAAUAUGAGAAGAAAUUUCCCACACGACUUCGAGUUCGCGGCCGUAAUGUUUGCCCUCAAACUAUGGAAGCAUUAUGUAUAUGGUGAACAUUGUAAGGUAUAUACAGAUCAUAAGAGCUUGAAAUACCUCUUCACCCAAAAGGAGUUGAACUUGAGGCCGUGAAGAUGGAUGGAGCUGCUAAAGGAUAAUGACAUUUCUAUUCUCUACAAUCCAAGAAAAGCGAACAUUGUGGGUCGCAAAUUGGUAGAGAUGAUGGUUUGAGUUGGAGGUUGUGGCACCUGAGAUGAAGUUGAUGAUAUUGGUGUUGAAACCUACCUGGUUGGAGAGAAUCAAGGAGAAACAAACUGGAGAUUCAAGUUUUCAAGGAAUUCGCUCGAACAUUAAGGAAGGUCACGUCGGUGGAUUUCAUAUAGAUGAUACAGGUGUACUUCAGUUUCGAGACCGAUUAUGUGUGCCGAUAGAUACGGAGAUUUGAGAAGAGAUCUUAAGGAAGGUUCAUCGAUCACCUUAUACACUUCAUCCGAGUAGCACUAAAAUGUAUAAGAAUUCGAAGUUGCAUUAUUAGUGGCGCGAAAUGAAGAAGGACAUUGCGCAAUUCGUGGUACAAUGUUUAUUUAUUUCAUUUAGAAAUAAACUUAGCUAGAAAUGUAAAGCAACUAGGCUUCGAACUUGACACCUUGGGUACCAACCACCAAGCCCUUUGCCACUUGCACUAGGGACGGUCGGUCAAGGUCAUAUUAUUUAAGAUUACAAAAAUAUACAAUUAAUGCAUUUGUUUCAUUAAUUAAUUUUAGAUAAUGCUAUCAGAAAUUUCAACAUCUUUUUAGAAAAAAAUCAGAUAAGGUAUUAAUGAUCAAAUAGUAAUAAAUAAAAUUGCCAGCUAAUAUACCUUUGUUUUUUUCAACAAUAAUAAAGAAUUUGUUUUAGGUAAAUUAAGAGAGCUAGCUUGGAGAAAAGAGAAAUUUGAGGUUAAGGGAAAGAUGAGACUAGAAAGAGAGUUUUUUAGGUUAGAGAUGUGAAGAUAUAAAAAAAGAGGAAGAGCUUAGCUUACAGAGAGAGAUUUGGGCUUAGAGGGAGCGACAUAUUUGAGAUUUUAGAGAAAGAAUGAGAGAAGGGCAUAGUCGAGGAGCAUAAUUAAAGAAAUAGGGAGAGAAGUAGAGUCGAGGUUAGAGGGAAUAAGAGUUGAGAUUUUAGAAAGAAAGGGGGGAGAGAGCUUAACUUAGAGAAAAAGAGUUUAAGUUUAGAGAGAGAAAGAUUAGGUUAUCGAGAGAUAUGAGGUUAGAGAGUACAGGAAAACAAUAGCAAUUUGCCAGCAGAUGGGGAGAAAAAAAUAAGUGGGCUAGAUUAGACAUAUUAUGAUUACCCUAAUCUAUUAAAAUGAGGAUACCCACUCUCCCUCAAAGGAAUGAGAUUAGUACUUUGGGAUGAAUCUCAUUCCCAAGUAUAUCUAGCAUUACCAACUAGAUUAUUUAAUGCGUUUAGCCAAAUACCGUCAUAUUUUUUUAUUCUUUUUGGAUUACUAGGAAUCUUAAAAAGAUAGUGCGAACCAAACACACCCUUAAAAGCCUUAUCAAUCUCUCAAAUCCAACUUGUAAGCAAUUAAACCCGACACUGCUAAGAAAAAUGAAUUUUUGACAAAUGAUCAACAUGAACUGAAAGGGAAAGCUACAAAACCAAAGUGGUAAAGUGAUACCUAUUAUCAUCAUAAAACUCUGUUAAAUUCUGGAUCUCCACAUACUCAAGACCUGCUUCUCUUGCUAAUCUGAUCCAGUUUUCCAUAAUCAGUUCUCUUUAACUAGACUAUCGAGAAACAUAUGUGUUUAAAAAGUAAGAAAAUGAAAAGACAAAUAAAUAAACCAUAACCUAAUAAAGCUCGCAAAAUGCACUAAGCAAUGGGUCUCAGAUGUGAUGUCAUUGGCAAAUUUUAGUUGAUAUUUCUUUCCAAAUAAAGGAAACCUGAAAGAUAUAUAUAAAAACAUUUUAGAAAGUUUAAAACAAAAUGGAUAAAUUACAACUAGGUCCUUGAGUAAGAAUAUAAGUAGGUCCUUACACAUCAUAUAUCAAUGAUGCCCUCCAACUUAAAUUAACUUGCAAUUUGGUCCUAUUGUCAGCCUUCACCUGUAAUUGGGUCCUUCAGUCUGCGGUUGUUUGCAGCACAUGCCAAAACCUCAGAUAACAUAGACAAGAUGACAUUUUAGUUUCGAAACUUUAGGGUUUUCCGUUAAUUUGGUGGCAAGAGAACUGGAAAAAAGUUCAGCACCAUAUUCUAUAUCCAGAAGAAGAUUAAGAAGAAGACAGAGUAAGUUCAUCAGGCGCUAUUACACAUUCAGUAGAAACUACAAGAUUGAACCAAAUUCAUGUACUUUUUUGACAAGCUCAUCCUCUCUCUAUUAAACCCUGUAUGUUCUUUUACUUGGCUAGUUUUAGUCACAAGAGAUACACUAAAAUAUCACUUGAGUCCUCUUUAAACCAACCGCACCGAAAACCCUCUAAUUCCCUUGGAAAGUGACAUCUUGUAUAUGUUACAUGAACUUGUCAUCUGCUGCCCAGCUCCACUAGCAAUUAGGAGGAGAAAGGACCAAAUACGGAAAAAAAAGUUUAAGGACGUCAUUGCUAUGAUUUCAAGUACAAGGAUCUACUUAAAAUUUCAGAUGAAAAGCUCAGGCACAUAGAUGUGAUUUACCCAAUGAAAAAUGUCAACUGAACCAAAAGUAAAACUAGAUCAAUUGUCUGUACUUCUCUUCCUCAACUUCGAAAGUAAUAACAUAGUUUUCUGAACGUAUGCAAUUUGUGACUGCAGUUGGCUUCAUACCGCUUCCCUUGUUAUGUGAAGCUUCAACAUUCUUUUGAUACUUUGUCCUAAAAAAUUAGCACAAUUUGGUUAUUUUUAAUGAUAAAUAUGUAAAGGAUAAGCUGGAGAUGCUGAUCUAUAGUUAUUUUGGAUAUAGAAAAGACUCAAGGAAUUCUAACAAAUUUUGCACUAGCACAGUGAGAUACAACCAGCCAAGAAAAAAGACAACAAUCCAUAAACUUAGGUCACCUCGGCAUAAUUUUUAAGCAGUAAACUAUCAAUCUGUUAAGAUAUGGUGUCGAAAGUAAACACUAAUAAAUAGUAGGACUGCAACAGAACCAAGGAAUUAAGUGCCGCCCCGUGCCGUACGGCAAGGGGCGUGCCUUACGGUGCCCCCAAGAAGAGGGUACAGGGGGGGUAUCGCACCCCCCCGAGUCUCGCGGCAUGCUGGUGCGUGCCGCCGCCAGCACGUACCGGUGUGCCGCCUUUUUUUUGGCUUUUUUUUUUUGGUUCUUUCUUCUUUUUUUUUUGUUCUCUAGGAUACAGAGCCGCCCCCCCCGCAAGGCCAUCUAUAUUGCAUUUUUUUUUCACUUUUCUCUUAUUUUUUUGACAUCGUGUUGUCUUUUUGUCAACUUUUUUUUUUUUGUUUUUUGGCCGAUGCCUUUUUUUUUUUUGCCUUAUGGCUUUUUCUUUUUUCUUUUGUUAAAUUAAAAAUUUAUAAUUUAACUUCUUAUUUAUCAAUAUAAAAGUAAAUUUUUAGUUGACAUAUCUGAUUCCACCACAGACAUCCAUUUUUUCUUCGCAAAUUAUUUUGCCAAAAUUUGUCACACCGCGAAACUUUCGAUGAAUCAGGGAAACAAAAAUCGAUCUCUUAGACAAAUUUUGAUCAAAUAUUUUUUAAAAGAAUAAAAAAGAAAAAAAUAUAUGGAUGUAAUUGCGGUACUAUUCUGGUUGUUCUAGUCAUUAUAUGCUUCCUAAUCGAAUCAAUAUAUACAUCUUGAAAUGUUUUUAGAAAAAAUAAAAUUUUCUUUCAUUUUAUCUGUUAUAAUUUUUUUAAUUCUAAAAAAAAUAAAAACAAAAGAAAUUUCAAAUGUUACAGCAUGUAUAGUUGUACUUAUCAAAUAAAAACAAAAGAAUUUUAAUUUCUAUUCUACAUCAGGUAUAAUUGUACUUUAUAUACAAAAUAGUAACAUGCAUGUUAAUUGAUGAGUAUAGUAAGCUAUACAUAGCAAAUAUUAAUAAUUAUUUGUCUAAAUCUUUCAAAAUAACAUUAUAAAAACUUAUUGGAACCAAAAAAACUUAAAUAAGUUCGUGCCAAAGCGUGCCAGUAGAAGGUCAUGCGUAUCCAUCGGCACGCACGCAUACCACGUGUCGGCAUGGAAGCAUGCCCGUACCGUACCGUGCCAGGGAAAUAGCGGCAUGCCCCCGUACCACGGCACUUUAAACCUUGAACAGAACAAUACAGACCAAAUCAAAGAAUGGGUAAAUUGCACUAAUGGUUCCUAAACUAUUGGAUGGGUUGCACUUUUGGACCCUACACUCUGGUUUGCCCCAUCAAAUUAAGCUAUACUUAACAACAAAGUAUUCAAAUCGAAAUUCUAAUCUUUGAUCUAUAAAUCUAUAAUAUCCGAAAGGCCUGUAAUUUUAAAAUCAAAGUACUGAGGACCUCUGCACUCGAGAUUAGCUUUCGGUAUAUGGAUGAUGUGAUGGAAUGGGUAAUACCCAAUAAUCAUUUCCGUUCCUUGUUAUUCUGCUAAUGUGACAGUAACAUGGUGAUUGCAUGGAAAGAAAUGUAGCAGAACAAUUUCUUUGCUUCAUUAAACCAAGAUAACCAAUACAAAGGCUUUUAUAUAAACAGGUUCCUCUCUAUGUCAAGCUAUUACCUUUACAAGUCUUGCUUCUCCCAGACAUUCCUACUAAGGUGUUUCACUGUUUAUAGACUCAGAUAAUUUACUAAGAACAAUUUAUAUUGUAAUCUGCCAAAAAGAGAAUAAAAGUGAAGGAACUCAGAAACUUAAAGAUGAUAGUGAUGCAAAAUAGGCUGACGUAAGGAUUGCCAAUGUCAGUACAUCACUACAUACCCCAUGCUAGUGGAAGGCAACUAGCACACCGGCACAAUUUUAUUUAUUAAUUUUUCCUAGAAAAUUAGCUUCUUGGAGUUUUUUAAUGUUUACAGUGCCUUUAAAAAUGGUCCAAGAUAUUAAAUUAGAUGAAGCAACCAUUAUUCUCCAAUAGCUAAAUCAGAAAAUGAUAUUUUCAAUAUGUAUAUUUAACACUCCGUCUCACGUCUGGGCUCAAAACUUUUUGAUCGACCCAAGAUGUGAACUUGAAUCAAAUAGGAAAAAAUUAAAUAACAUUAUAUAACGAUACGGCCCGCUAGCACUAAUAACUCGUUAAGCGCAAACUACCGACCAAAAAUGCUUAAGCCCAAUUAUUAGUUCUAGUAUGCCCGUCAUACAUACUUCCCUUGUUUUAGGCCCUAACGUACUCGUUGGCCCAAUCACAUAAGAGUCCGAAAUCACUAGGCGAUGUGAGGCCCACCUCACACUUACGGCUAGUGAACUAGUUUUAAUACCAACUGCAACGACCUAGCCCACUAGUACUAAUAACUCGUUGAACCCUAAAUUACCCGCCCAAAAUGCUUAAGCCCAAUUUUUAAUUCUAGUGUACCCGCUACAUAAAAGCCCCUCACACUUUCCCACAUUAAUCGAUGUGACAUAGUCCCGCCGUUUUAGACUGAUGUCCUCGUCAAUCCAGCCUAAUCACAUACAUAACCUAAAAUCACAGGCGAUGUACGACCAGCUAACACUACCGGCUAGUGAAUCGGCUCUAAUACCAAAUGUAACAACUCGGCCCACUACCACCAAUUACUCGUCAGACCCAAACCACCACGCCGAAAAUGCUUAAGCCUAGUUAUUAUUAGUAGGAUCCCUGAUUGGUGUAUUAAAGACUCUGACGUUCUCGUCAAGUUCAAACCCAAUAACACAUAUAGCCCAUGGAAUAGCCCUAUAUAUAAGAUAUAGUAGGGUUAAGUGUAGUGUUCUGGAGCUCACUAGCUGGAUUCAGAUACAGUGUGGGCAACUGGUCAGCAUAUCUAUAGGGUGUUGAACAGAAUUAGAGCUGUUUUAGCACGACAUGGAUGGGAAAAUAGACUCAAAAUCUCAAAAUCUGCUGAAACUGAAGUUUCUAUACGUUUUGGACGCCCAUAAAGUACUUCGGGCGCCCUAAAGUCCUGUGCAGGUUCUGAUGUUACUUCGGACCCUACUUCCGAAUGCUCGAAAAUACUAUAGCCUCCUGGAUUUGAGUUGGUGGCAAUCUGACUAUUGGUUUGACACGUGUAUAGUGACUCAUAAGAUGCGCCCGAAAACUUUCAGAUUACAUAGCUACGUGAAUCCGGACUUCUCACCGAACACCCGUGAGAUCAUUCAGGCAAAGUUACGACGGGUUCAGACACCCGAAAUCUCGAUUCAGACGCCCAAAAUCUCAAUUUGAGCGCUUGAAAAUGGCGAUUCAGGCGCUCAAAAUCUCAAAAUCUGUUGAACUGAAGUUUCUAUAGGUUUUGGACGCCCAUAAAGUACUUAGGGCGCCCUAAAGUCCUGUGCAGGUUUUGACGUUACUUCGGACCCUACUUCCGAACGCUCGGAAAUACUAUAGCCGCCUAGAUUUGAGUUGGUGGUGAUCUAACCAUUGGUUUGACACGUGUAUAGUGAUUUACAAGAUGCGCCCGAAAACUUUCAGAUUACGCAGCUACGUGAAUCCGGACUUCUCAACCAAACGCCCGUGAGAUCAUUCAGGCAGAGUUACGACGGGUUCAGAAGCCCGAUAUCUCAUUUCAAGUGCCCAAAAUCUCGAUUCGGGCGCUCGAAAACGGCGAUUUAAGCUGAGAGCAUUAUUUCCAAUUUUUCCAAUGGCUUAAUUGUAUUUGUUCUUUGCAUAUAAAUACCUACCAGGGGUUAUUCUUACACUAUUCCACCCGUCCCAUUCACCAGAGAUCUCAUUAGACGCCUCUACUACUCUUCUUCUUUUUCUACUAGUGAUGUAUAUCCCUAUAGUCCGAGAAUGUGUUUUUCCUUGAGUUGAUAUGUAUGCCGCCGGAUAGAGAGGUCUAGUUUGUGAUUGACGUAGUGUUACGAUAUAUUUUAUCUAUAUUAGGAUACUGUGUAUUGCCUUCUAUAGAGUAGUAUUAUUGCUUUCUAUAGAGUAGAAUUAUAUAGUAUGUAAUCCUAGUUAUACUCUUACUAUAGUAGUCAUUGUUACUAUAGUAAGACAAUCUCUUGUACAAUAUAUAUUCGUUAAUACAACUCAAAAGGGCAUGCUCUUUUGCCCUUCUUACAUGGUAUCAGAGCGGGAACCCUAAUGUGGAGAUAUCAAUCCAUAGCCAUCAUCCACCAUAAGUCUCACCUUUUUCCAUAGGUGUUUUUUCUUUUGGUAUUCUAUCUCCCUGGUACUGCUACAGUACUAUCGCUACAGUACUGGCGCUACAGUACCGACAGUGCUACAGUGCCUCUGCUACAGUAUUUUCAGCCUUUUUGUGAUUCCUCUUUGCUCCUCUGGUGCCGCUUGGACUAUCCUACUACUGGUUGCUCGUAUCGCUCGGUUCUUUCCUUGGUGCGGUCGAUCUUAUUUGGUGAUAAGUGGUUCCACUCUUGUGUGGUAGAAAUCAGGUUCUUUUUUAUUCUCAUCUGCUACAUUUCGAUUUAUCUUUCUUUCAUAUCUAGUGGUGGAUCCUUUCUCUUAAGGUGGUAAACAUGUCUUCUUCUACCUCAAAUUUGCCAAUUGUUAACAUCAAAACUCUCAUACCACUAGUGUAGUAUCCUUUUAUAUAUACCGCGAUCCGGGAAUGGCGCUAGGAGCGGCACACUUGAGCGCGAGCCGGGACAUCAUUUUACCCCCACUCUUGAUUGAAGGAAUCAAGGGUCACCAAAGCCGGCAGCUGAGGCGGCUAGAGGGGUGAUCCAGGUUCGCCCGUUUUCAUCUAUUAGCUAUUUAUCUAUCUAUUCCUUUCGCCAUUUACUGUCUUCAUUUCGAUGCGAUGAUACGGGUUAGUAUUUAUAUACUUACGUACAUGUUACUUUAUCUAUUUGUUGAUUGGGUAAUAGUACAGGUUUCCAUUUCGAUAACUGAGCAAGUAGUUAGAGUAAAUGAACAAAGAAUUAGAGCACCGAAGGGACUUCCUCGGAUGACGAGUGAUCGGUAGAGCUUCCAUCCCUCCCAGUUGAGCGUGAUGCUUGGCUCUGGCAGACGGCCCUGGGUUUUAUCCGCUAGGGAACCCUGGGUUUUAUCCGCUAUGGUGCACUGGUUGAGGCCUCGCGUGAUGAACACACCCCGAAGGUAGUGUUCUAAAUUUUUGUCUGGCACUCGUACUAGGUUAGUAGCAGAGCUCUUAUGGGAUAGGAGAUCCCAAUGUUAGUAGUACAUCAGGUAUCCGCAGCAUAUGUGGUUCAAAUUGUACGUAGUGAACAAAAGAAUAUGUGAUAGUUGAUCUAACGGUGAGCAGGUACCAAAUGAUAGCUGAUCUACGGUGAGCAAGAAACAAAUAGUAAUCUGGUUGGUAACUCGGGUAGAGAAAGAGACGUGAUAUCCCAAGUGUUCAGAGCUGGGUUAGGAAUAGCUAGGUGAUACAGUUCAUAGGUUAUGUACGAUGCUAUAGUAGUUCCUUUCGUAUUCCUUUCCGUUACGUGUUAGUAGGAUAUUACGUUAUUAUGUUCUACGUCUUAGCUUUACAUGAUUCUGUAUCUUCCCUCGGGCUAACGAAGCCCUACCUGUGGUGGGUGGAAAAUAUCACAAGGCUAACGAGCAGCAGUGAGCGUUAGCCGGAGGACGCCGCGUGUGGCGUGCCGAGCUGGGUUGAGUGCGCGCUGACGGUUUACUGGAGGAUAGGCACUAGACCUUUAAUUUCCAGAAGCCAAGGAGCAGUGCUACGACUUUAGGCUAAGGCGCUAAAUACCUUCGGCGGAGUCGGGAGGUCCGCCUUUGCUUCGGAUUGCAGGCAAAGAAAUUAUUGAAGCGUGGCCGAGCUGCUUAGCGGCUUGGCAGCGAAGGUUGCGCAAGUUACUGGAUAGUUAAUCCAAAUGUCUCCCAGUUUACUCUAGUUUGGGAAUAUAAAGGUUUUUAACGUAAAACUCGGGAUCCAAAUAUUGAUCCGUUCUUAAUUGAUUUAACUAGGAUCUAAGAUCGUUAUUAGUAGAUAAAUCGUACGAUCUUAUCGAGAUUUAGGUAAGAACUUCGAAUUUUGGGUUUGAUGUUUCUCUAUGGUAAUUUCCCAAAACUUCGAAUGGAAGUUUGGAACGAGGUUACCUCUCCUUCUUCUACCUCUUCUACCUUUAGGUGGAAUCUCGAAGCUAGAGGUGGUUUUAGUAAAAAAAAACCCUCUCUAAAUCUCUCUCUUUCCCCUCAAAGAGAGAGAGGGAAGGUACGCACACACUCACACACACACAGCGUACACACACACGACGUGCCAACUCCCUCCUUCCUCUUCUUCCCUAAUUAGGGAAAAAUGUUCAAUCAGGGAGUUGAAAUGUGAUAAGUGUAGUCAAUCGUCAAGCCUUGUCAACCUCGGGAAGACUUACAGGCAAACUCGAGUUUAAACUGUCCGUACGAGUCAAAUUGCAUGACUCAUUCUUAUAUAGAAUUCAAAAGUCAAAGCUGGGGCAAACCAGUGGCUUUUGAUACGUCUUGACAUUAGAAAUCGUCUAUUGAGCCUAAAAUAAAGAGUGAGAUGCCCACAAUCUUUUUAUACUUUGGAAUUUAGAUCGGAGUAUUUUUAUAAAGACUGUAUAGGAGGUUAAAAGUAUUAAAAGACUCUGACGUAAAAGACGAUUAAAAACAGGGCAAAGGUUGUCUUUUAAGGUCUAUAAGACAAAAGUAGGGCUAAAGUCGUGUUCAGUGAAGACUGAAUACAAAAUGAAGAGAUUUAGGUUAUUUUAUCAUAGAGUAUGAUAAAAAUAAAUAAAAAAUAAAAAUAUAAAUUUAGGCCAUAUAAUGUAAUGUGACGUUGGAAUGGCCUUGGUAAGUUUACCGAGAGGUUGGUUUACCUGUGGCAUUGGAGUACUAAAAUCUUCAGGCCAUGGAAUGUCGAGACCAUGAGAGCCACGUCGUGAGCCACAGACUCGGUGGGAGAGUGUGUUGGAGACGUUGUUGAGGGGGACGACGGAGCAGUGGAGUCAGUCCCGUCGAUUGACACGUGAGUCUAGUCCCCCACGCGAUCGGAGUCCAGCGCGUGAGCCGAGGUGUUGUCCCCCACGUGAACGGAGGCCAGACAGUGGGACGAGGACGGCUCAUGGGACGAGAUAAACGACUCCAGAGAGUCUUCCAGGACAUACUAGGGCGCGGUUGACCCGUGCGAGUGCGUUGCUGCCAGCUGGAGCCGCUGCUAUGUAUCGACUUUCCUUGUCUAGUCCCAGUCAACUUUGUGUUUAUGAGAACUGGGUUAGUUGCUUUCAGACCUUCCGCCAGGGACAAAGGGAGGUUUUGAUACAGCAGACGUCGGUUGUAUUAAAGAGUCCGGUUUUGUCCAUGAGGAAGUUAGUGAGUGAGGUGAGAUCCUUCUCAAUUUUGUUGAUUAGUAACUGAAAGCGUUAUUUAAUGCGGAGAGCGCAGAACGAAAGGAUUCCAAACGGUUGAAUCCCAAAGAUCCAGGGUUGCUGAAUAUCGUUUCGAGACUAUGGUUGGAUUAGACAGUGCGGGGCCUAAUGUGCAAGGGGCCCGUGCGGCUGUUUAGGCGGCAUAUGUUUCCUUAAAGGGGACAUAUGCUUCGCUGUCGAUAUGGACAUUUGGCAUGUUAUGAUGUUUGUCAUCAUAUCUCGACGAUCUCAUUUGUCUUCGAUUUGUUUGCCUCAAGGUUUAUGUAUCAGGUUAUUGUUUUUUUUUGUUUCGAUGAGCGUGACCGCUCAAUUCAUAUGAUACAUGUACUUGAGUUUUGUUUUGUAGAUGGACGUCAUCCCCGUGGAGAUCGAGCCGUGCAGACCAUCCCGAGAUUGAGCGCUGCGGGAACGGAGCUAAGACUAGACGCUGUCGUCGUCGGCUGCUGCUACCGAGACGUUUUUGUCUCCCAUUGUUGUCCCGCACUCUUGAUGACAUUUUUGUCCAUCAGGAGUCACCCACGGCGGGAGUUGUUGUAGCCAGGUGGGUGAUUCAGAUGUCUUCCCUCGUUUCUAUCAUCAUUUACGUCCUUAUUUUAGAUGGCGAUACUUAGUGAUGUGAUAGUAUGAGAUGUGAUUGGUUGACAUCCUUUACAGUUUUGACUGGGUUAGGUUAGCCCUGCCAUUUGGAUGGGCAGGGACCCUGACACUUAUGUGGUCAGGGAGGGGUCAACGCUGAUAGGUCGAUGUAGGUGUGAUUGACCAGGCACCUCUCGUUCAGGUUGGCCGUACUCGCUGUGGUUGCGCUUUCGUGUUUCGGGCAGAGGCCUCACCGUGAGCACCCGCGAUGGGUUGGCUCAUACGUCGCAUAGAGACAGCUCGAGUUAGUCCGAUACUUUUCGGUUUCAGUUCAUUGGCUGAUAUUGAUCAGAUUAUUGGUUGUCAAGUGCACGGGAGCCGUGUUAGACAGCGGUUUUUCCGCUAGGCCCAGGUGGCAGUUGAGACUGCCGUGGGUUGUCAGGCUUUGUCGGGUUUGCUGGGACAUUUUUAGGUGAGCCGCAUGGUCGUGCUCGCAUUUACACAAGAUUUGAUGGACCUCAUGAGCAGAGAUCCUAUGACGCUGUCAUGUUAAAAUAUUGCCGAGGAUCUCGAUUUAGUCCGUCAAAUUUGUUCACUGUCCAGGUUUAGCGUCCAAAAGAGGAUUAAGUUUAAGGUUCAGGUUGUACAUAUUUGAUGAGUUAAAUAAAGGUGUACGAGGUUUAAGUCUAAACGUUAGAUAGUAUACUAGGUACUUAAGCUCCGUCUUAUCCGAUAUGAUUUUAACUUAAAAUGUGUACAGCUGCUAAUCUUGAAUCCUCAGUUUUGGCUACAUUGGGUGGAGCUAGCGAUUUGGGGCCGUCGCUCCAGUGGUUUUUAGGGGUUUAGGUGACCUUUUUGGUCCCACAGGUCGAGUUCAAGCUUUAGUGGGACGUGUGUAGCGUUGCUUCUUGAGGUUGAGUUUAAGACAGGCUUUGUGUCGUCGUCUCCUCUUGUAUUAAAGCUGGGUCGAUUGGAAGUUGUUUAGCUCGUUUAUUCCCGAAGCACCUAAGGAGAGCUUCAGGACUUAGGUUGCUUGGUUCAGGGCAGUUUUAGGCUGCAAGGAUGUGGCUCAUACUCGGCUUUGUGACUGUCAGCUGCGACUUUUAGUCGUGCGCUCGAGUUUUGGCACGCAAGUUCAUUAGGUUCCUCCUUUCAAUCCAUGGGUGGAGCUGUCGCUUAGGUCGCGGCCACGCUGCAGCUCCUGCCGCUUUUGGUGUGGGAGCGAGCUUGAGGAGCGCUACGAUGCUGACGUUGGCAUAGGAGCUUGCCGAGGCGCCACGCUGCAGCUGCAGCUUAGGCUCGAGGCGCCGAUGAGGGGACUCGAGGUGGAGCACACCGAGAGAUGAAGUGUAAUUUCUCUAUUUCUUUUAAAAUUAAUCUCGUGGGAGUUCGACUCUUCACCUAUCCGUACGUACGUACCCCCAUGCACCGUCGUAGGUAUAUAUAUAUAUAUNNNNNNNNNNNNNNNNNNNNNNNNNGAAUUUGAAUUAGGAGAAAACCUGCGAUUUGGACCUGUCACUUGUUUAAACUGCCUGAUUUAGCUCUAGGAGCCGUUAUAAAAUUGUACUGUCGCAGUAUCCUAGAGACGAGUACUCCAGAUAGUUUAGAACACAUUUACGCUCGUGCUGGUACGCCGAGUGGAUUUUUACAGGGUCGUUUGGGCUGUUUCGGACUGUUGGGUGCCGUCAGAGUUGACGGUGGACCCGGAUCGCCUUUUUGGCGACAGAUUGUGCCGAGGGCACGUGAACUGUUGGUUAUUAGACUAGUUAUAGUCGGUUACUUGACUUUGGCUUUUCAUAGCCUGAUUGAGCUCGACAGAGAUACGCUGCAUACUCGGUUGGGUAGCGCCACGAGUGCCACUCCGGAAACGGGCUUUGUGCUUUCGCGUUGGUGUCGCUCAUGCCGGUUGGACUUGCUCUCCACCGACCAGUUAGUGUGGAGGUAGCUGGAUAGUCGCAACUGGGGAGGGACUGGUGUAUUCACAGUCCCAAGGACGGGUAGGUUUACCGUCCCGAUUGGAUUGGGUCAGAUUUGACAUUUCCUACAGUUGGUUAGUGUAGAGUAUGAUAGUGUAGUGAUUCAUAGCAGUAGAUUUUAUUCCUGCAUUUACUACUAUCUUUGCUCCCUUCUGUAGACUUAAUGGGUGGACCGAUGUUGUUGAGGGCGGCACCCACUGAGGACUACCUGUUUUUACAGUAGUUCUCACGCCUUGUUGUUACCCCCUGUUUUUGCAGAGCCAUCGUCGUCGGCUGCUGCUGUCGCAGAUCAGAAUCGAGGCAAGGGCGUCGCGAGUUAGAGCCCUACCAGACGUGCCAAGCUAGAGGUGCCCCUACUGCAGGUAGAUAUUUUGUUUUGAGUUCAUGUACAUAGUAUACUUAACUCGCCAGUGCGAGUAGCUUUGUUUUUUUUUGUUAUUGGACUAUGUAUAUGGAACUCCGUUUGUUUAGCUUCUAUUUACUCUAGCAACUCUAUACUACUGUUUGUAGUAUUGUACAGUUUACAGAUACAGCUGUCGCUUCGUAUACAGGGGAAAUUCCUUUGUAUACGGCGGAUUUGUCGGCGUGCCCGGGGAACGUGUAAUCCGGGGCGUGACAACUAGAACUCACCGAUUCCACAUAUCUUGUGUGGAAACAAGUCUUUCUUAAUGUUCUAGAAAGUUUUGGUGUUACAACACAUGUGGACGGAACUAGUGUUGUGCCUUCUCAAACUAUCGAUACUGCUGAUAAUAAAGUGGUUAUAAAUCCUGAAUAUGUAAGUUGGAAAAAAGACGAUACUACUAUACUUUCAUGGAUUAAUGCCACUUUAUCUCUUAGCAUAUUACAAAUGGUUAGUUCUAGCUCACCUAAAACUGCAUAUGAUGCUUGGAGAAUUAUUGAGGCAUAUUUUCUUGAUAAGACUGCUUUCACGGCUUUUUCUCUAAAGUCUGAAUUGCGGAGCAUCAAGAAAGGCUCAAUAAGCAUGAGUGAUUACAUGCAAAAGAUCAAGACGAUCGGUGAUUCUCUUCAGGCGAUUAGUGAAAUCGAGUCAGACCAUAAUUUGGUCGUGACUGUUCUUCUAGGGCUACUAGAGGAAUAUCGAGAUUUUGUUAGUGCUCUAAACACACACAGAAAUAAGCCAACUUUUGAACAACUUCGUCUACUCUUAAUGCAAGAAGAAACAGAAGUCCAGCGUCGUACUAGUGUGACUACGUCCUCUGCUAUUCCCACUAUUGAUGGUGAAGCUCUUUAUGCCAAUCGUGGACAUGGUAAUCGUGGAGGCCGUGGAGGCAGAUAUCGUAGAGGCCGAGGACAGCGUGGUAGACACUACUCUGGUCGUGGAUCUCCUGGAAUCUACCCAAAGUCUCAACCCAAUUAUCCUCAACAAUCUUACACUCCAAAUCAACAACCGUACAUUCCGAAGUCUGGCAUACAAUGUCAGAUAUGUGGAAAGUUCAAUCAUUCUGCUCUUCAGUGCAGACAACGCUUCAAUCAUUCUUUCGUUGCCGAUGAAGUUCCUCAGACCUUUGCUGCUAUGAACCUUCACGAACCCGGUGAGGUCUGGUAUCCGGAUACCGGAGCAUCAAAUCAUAUGACCUCAAACUCUGGUAUUCUCUCAUCUUCUAAACCUUAUAGUGGGCAUGAAAAAAUUCUUGUUGGUAAUGGAAAUUUACUUGAUAUUACUCAGACAGGUGAAACUCAAUUGAAUACAUCUUCUAACUCUUUUGCUCUCAAAAAUGUUCUUGUUGUUCCUACUAUUAAGAGAAAUUUACUUUCAGUGCGUAAAUUCUGUCAAGAUAAUAAUUCUCUUUUUGAAUUUGACUCUACUGGUUUUUCUAUGAAGGACAAGGAAACAGAGAAGGAGCUUCUUCGAUGUCCUAGCUCGGGAACAUCAGUUUAUCCAAUUUUUUCUGAACUUGCAAGUGUAGAGAAUAAGCAACAACUAGCUCUUGUUGCAUCUAGGUUUAGUGGAGAUGUCUGGCAUAGACGGUUAGGCCAUCCUAGUCUUCCUGUUCUUUCUACAUUUAUUAAAAACAAUAAAAUUGUUUCUGAUUCUGCACUGAAAUUAUCUGUCUGCAAUGCUUGUAAUAUGGAAAAACAUGUUAAACUCUCAUUUCAUGAUUCGGAAUCUCAGUCUGCUUUUCCUUUUCAUAUUGUUCAUUCUGAUGUUUGGCAAUAACCUGUGCCCUCGGUUUCUGGAUACAAAUAUUAUGUUAUUUUUAUCGACGAUUAUUCUAGAUUUUUCUGGCUUUAUCUUUUAAAAUGUAAACAUGAAGUUUUUAACAAAUUUCUCGAGUUCAAGAAGAUGGUUGAAAAUAUAUUUCACAGCUCAAUAAAAAUUUUUCAAUCUGAAAAUGGUACGGAAUUUAUAAAUAACAAGUUUUCUAGUUUUUGCUCACAAAAUGGAAUUAUUCACCGAUUUUCUUGUCCUUACACUCCUCAACAAAAUGGCCUUGCUGAGAGAAAACAUAAGCAUUUAUCUAACAUUGUUAGAAGUCUAUUGUUUCAAGCUGGCUUGCCUCCUCGUUUUUGGGCUGAUGCCAUUCAAACUGUUGUUUUUCUUGUAAAUCGACUCCCGUCUCUUACUGUUUUAAAUGGGCAGUCACCGUAUGACAUUCUCCAUGGUUGUGCUUCUCCUGACUUGCAACUUAUCAGAGUCUUUGGAUGUUUGUGUUAUCCCGAUGUUCAAAACAUUGCAGAUCACAAGCUCUCUCCCCGAUCACUUCCUUGUAUUUUCUUGGGCCUUUCUGACAAACAUAAAGGCUUUCGCUGCCUCUAUCUAAACACUGGUAAAGUUUUUAUUUCUCGCCAUGUUACUUUUGUUGAAACUGUUUUCCUUACUCUUGUCUGUCUAAAUUUUCUCCCUCACCUUCCCCCACUACCUUAAAUUUUCAAAUAUUUCAACAUUUUCUUUCUAAUCCUCCCUUACUGGGUGAAAGUCCUUCCUCUAUUGAUGCCACUCUGGUUUUUCCUUCACACGCCCUUCUACGGACGUUGGUUCAAAUGCAUCCGUUUCACCGUCUGAGACUAUAUCGACUUUUCCUUCCACCUUGAAUCAUGAUGCCAUACAGGUUAGUGAUGAACAUGCUGCCACUGUUGUUAGUCCACCUUAACUCCGAGUCUAUACCAGACGACACACCCUCCGACCUACUGCUGAGCUUCACCUUCUCCUGUUGAGUUGACGCCUUCCACAUCUGACGGGCCACCUUCACCUCAGCCUGCUGAGCCUUCUUUACCACUCCGAACACACUCUAUGCUUACUCGAUCUAUGACUAAGAAUUUUGCCGGGUACCGACCAUUCCUAGAGCAAGUGGCAAAAGGCUUGGUGGUUGGUACCCGAGACCCAAGUUCGAAUCCUAGUUGAUUCACAUUUCUAGCUAAGUUUGUUUCAAAAUAAAAUAAACGAAGCGGGUAGCGUGCUACCUAUCUCUCAAAAAAAAAAAAAAAGAAUUUUGCCGAGUCUACCUAUUUCCUAACUUCUACACAUACUACUAUUCCUACUGAGCCUCCCACUUUUCAUUAAGCUUUUCAGGAUGCAGGUUGGCAUACUACCAUGGCUGAAAAAUUUGAUGCAUUACUCACCAAUGAUACUUGGGAGCUUGUUCCUGCUCCUCCUUCUGUCAAUCUUAUUGGCUGUAAAUGGGUCUACAAAGUCAAACAGAAGGCGGAUGGCUCUCUUGAGCGUCUCAAAGCUCGACUAGUGGCUCAGGGUUACAAACAACAAGGCAUUGAUUUUGAUGAGACUUUCUCCGGUUGUCAAGUCGACCACUAUUUGUACUGUUCUUUCGGUCGCUCUCUCCUCUGGAUGGUCUCUCCGACAACUUGAUGUGAAGAAUGCCUUUCUUCAUGGCACUCUCUGAGGAGGUUUAUAUGAAACAACCACCUAGCUUUAUGCAUCCUUCGCUUCCUAGUCACGUUUGCCAUCAACGCAAAGCGAUAUAUAGUCUCAAACAAGCUCCUCGGGCUUGGUUUCAGCGCUUUCUUUCUUUCUGAGAUUGGUUUUGUUGGCAGCACUGCUGAUCCCUCGAUGUUUGUUUGUCAUUCCUCCUCUGGCACUCUUGUUCUCCUUUUAUAUAUUGAUGAUAUUAUUGUCACCGGCAGUUCCUCAUCUCUUCUCGAUGCUCUUAUCGUCACUUUACAACGCGAAUUUGCCAUGAAGGAUCUCGGACCGCUACAUUAUUUUUUGGGUAUUGAGGUUCAUCGCUCCCCCUCCGGUCUUCAUCUAUCUCAACAAAAAUAUGCGCAUUAACUCCUUCAGCGACAUGGUUUUCUUGACAGUAAGCCCGUUUCUGAUCCUCUUUCGCCAACAUCUCAUCUCUCUUCCUAUAAGGGGCGUCUUCUUUAGGAUCCAUACAUUUAUCGUCGGAUAGUUGGUGCUCUCCAGUAUCUCACUUUCACCAGACCAGACGUUUCAUAUGCCGUCAACUCUGUUGCCCAGUAUCUCCAUGCACCUCGUGAACCGCAUAUGCAAGCGGUCAAGCGUAUUCUACGCUAUAUUCGGGGGACGCUGUCUUAUGGCCUUCCUAUCUCUCACUACGACAAUCCUUCUCUUGUGGCCUUCAUUGAUGCUGAUUGGGCUGGUUGCCCGGAUACACGUCGCUCCACUUCUGGAUAUUGCAUUUUUCUCAAGCCAAAUCUUAUCUCCUGGUCUGCUAAGAAACAAUCCACCAUUUCUCGUUCUAGUUCUGAAGCAGAGUAUCGUGCUGUAGCCUACACACUUGCUGAGACAGUCUGGAUUCGUCGUCUCCUUCGUGACCUUCGUAUUUUCUUAUGGUGCUCUAUCAGUAUUUAUUGUGAUAAUCUCAGCAUCACCUACCUUGCUGUCAAUCCUGUUCUCCAUGCUCGCACGAAGCACAUUGAACUUAACCAUCAGUUCUUGCGGGAAAAAGUUCAGUCUGGUGAUUUGGCCUUAAUUCAUAUCCCUUCUGACAAGCAACUUGCCGACGUUUUCACCAAGCCCCUGUCACCCUCUCGGUUUUCGAUAUUGCGGCUCAAUCUUCACAUCCGACCAUCGGAUGCUUAGCUUGCGCGCGGAUAUUACGAUAUAUUUUAUCUAUAUUAGGAUACUGUGUAUUAUUGCCUUCUAUAGAGUAGUAUUAUUGCCUUCUAUAGAGUAGGAUUAUAUAGUAUGUAAUCCUAGUUAUACUCUUACUAUAGUAGUCAUUGUUACUGUAGUAAGACAAUCUCUUGUACUAUAUAUAUUCGUUAAUACAACUCAAGAGGGCAUGCUCUUUUGCCCUUCUUACACGUAGUCCUUGAAACUAUACCAAUCUCGAAGGCACCCUACAGGGUGGCACCGGCUGAGCUGUGAGAGUUAAAGGCGCAACUUUAGGACUUGAUGGAGAAAGGGUUUGUGAGAUCCAGUGCGUCGCCUUGGGAAGCAUCAAUAUUUUCUAUGAAGAAUGAUGGUUCAAUAUGGCUGUGUAUGGAUUAUAGAGAAUUGAACAAAGUGAUCAUCCAGAACAAUUAUCCUUUGUUGCGCAUUGAUGAUCUAUUCGAUCAGUUACAAGGAUCUCGUGUCUUCUCCUAAAUUGACCUGCAAUCAAAGUACCAUAUACUGAAGGUGAAAACUAAGGAUAUACCCAAGACCGCGUUCAAGACAUAGCACGAGCAUUAUGAGUUCACAGUGAUGCCUUCUGGAUUAAUGAAUGCCCCUACCGCAUUUAUGGAUUUGAUGAAUAGGGUGUUCAAACCGUACUUUGAUCAAUUAGUGGUGGUGUUCAUUGAUAAUAUCCUGAUAUAUUUCCGGAAUGAUGCGGGGCAUAAGGAGCAUCUGAGGAUAGUGCUACAGUUUCUGAGGGAGAAGAAGUUGUAUACUAAAUUGAAGUGUGGGUUCUAGCUCCGAGAGGUUGCAUUAUUGGGCGAUGUGAUUUCAGCAGCAAGUAUUACAACGGGCACUAAGAAGGUUGAAGUGAUUCCAGAUUGGCCCAAACCGAUAACCAUCACUGAAGGGAGAAGCUUUCUUUCUUGGAUUAGCUGGAUACUAUCAUCGAUUUGUGAAAAGAUUUGCGAAGCUUUCCACACCCCUCACUCGAUUAACUCGCAAAAUAAUUUUGUUUGGAGUGAGGAUUGCCAGAGGAGCUUUGAGGAACUGAAGAAGAGAUUGAUGUCAGCUCCUAUUCUUGCCCUUCCAGUUAUAGGAGAAGAAUUUGUGAUCUACAGUGAUGCAUAGUACAGUGGCCUAGGGCGCAUACUAAUGCAGCAUAAUAGGAGAAUAAUUGCUUAUGCUUUACAACAACUGAAUGAAUAUGAGAAGAAUUACCCUACACAUGAUCUGGAGUUAGCUGUGGUGAUUUUUGCAAUAAAGCUUUGGUGUCAAUAUCCAUAUGGGGAGCAUUGUAAGAUCUACACCAAUCACAAGAGUCUCAAUUAUCUGUUUACCCAAAAGGAGUUGAACUUGAGACAACGUCGGUGGUUGGAGUUGUUGAACGAUUAUGAUGUGACUAUUCUAUAUCAUCCUGAUAAGGCUAACGUAAUAGCAGAUGUGUUGAGCGGAAAAUCGGUGCAAAGUGUAGGUAUGAUGAUCAUGAGGCAGACACCAUAGCUAGAGGAAAUGAGGCUAUUUGGACUGGAGGUUGUAUCCCCAGGGUUUUAGCAAGACUCAUGUCUACGGUUUUGCAACCCACUCUGUUAGACAAGAUCAAAGAGAAACAGAGAUUGGACCCCACAAUUGACGAGGAUUAGAAUAGAGGUUGAAAGCAGGCAGACAGAGGAGUUCAACAUAGAUGCCUUAAGGGUACUACAGUUCAGAGACCGGUCAUGUGUGCUAGUGGAAUCAGAGCUCUGUGAGGAGAUAUUGAGAGAGGCUCACUGUUCUCUUUAUACAUCCAAGAGGUACCAAGAUUUAUAAGGACAUGAAGGCACACUACUAGUGGAAUGGAAUAAAGAGGGAUGUUGGGAGAUAUGUAUUUCAGUGCCUGACUUGUUAGCAAAUGAAAAUCGCACACCGUGUACCGGCUGGCAAGCUUCAAAAUCUUCCAAUCCCGGAGUGGAAGUAGGAAAUGAUCACGAUGGAUUUCGUCGUUGGAUUGCCUAGAGCUCAUAAUGGAUAUCAUGCGGUGUGGGUUAUGGCAAACAGACUGACCAAGUUUGCUCACUUCUUACAAAUGUAGGUCACUUGGUCCCCAAAGCAACUCGCACAGGUAUAUAUGGAUGAUAUAGUGAGAUUAUAUGGAGUACUUACCUCGAUAGUAUCAGAUCGAGACCCAAGGUUCGUUUCACAUUUCUAGAGCCUACAGAAGGCCUUAGGGAUUUAGUUGCACUUCAGUACAGCCUUUCACCCACAGACCAAUAGACAGUCAGAGAGGACGAUCCAGACUUCAAAAAACAUGUUGAGAGCUAGUGUCACAGAUUUUGGAGAAGAGUGGUAUUGACACUUAAGAUUGGCGGAGUUUGCUUACAACAACAGCUAUCAAACGAGCAUUCAAAUGGCUCCGUUUGAGGCAUUAUAUGAACGAAAGUAUCGAUCACCCUUACAUGGGAGUAAAGUGGAUGAAAGAAAAACUUUGGGGCCUGAUAUUUUGUUGGAGAGAGGAAAAGGUCAAGAUUGCUCGAAGAUAUCUGGUGACCGCCCAAAGUCGACAGAAUAGUUAUGCUGAUACUCGGCGACGAGACUUGGAAUUUCAAGUUGGCGAUUAUGUGUUUUUAAAAGUCUCGUCAUCCAAAGGAUUUCGGAGAUUUGGAAUUCAUGGAAAGUUUAGUCCACAAUAUAUUAGUCCCUUUGAGGUACUAGAGCGAGUUGGACCUGUAGCUUAUAGGAUUGCACUACCGCCGAGGUUAGCUGGUGUCCACGAUGUUUUCCACGUGUCGGAUUUGAGAAGAUACGUGUUUGACCCUUAGCACAUGAUUGACUAUGCUCCACUUGAGUUGAGCGAGAACUUGAGCUACAAGGAGCAACCAGUGUGGAAUCUUGCUCGGGAGGAGAGAGUUGCGCAACCGAGUCAUUCCGUAUGUGAAGAACUUGUGGAGCAAUCACAAAGAGCAAGAAACGACUUAGGAGCCAGAUGUAGUGAUGCAGAAGUCAUACCCUCUACUUGUUUGAGGAUUCUUCUUGAUGUAUGGAUUUAAGUUUUGAGAGCGAAACUUUUUGUAGAGGGAAAGAUGUAGUGUUCUAGAGCUCAGUAACCAAGUCCAAGUACAAUGUGGGCAACUAGUCAGCAUGUCUGUAGGGCGUUGGGCAAAACUAGGGCUGGCAAAUGAGCAAGCCGGCUCAUGUUCGACUCGCGUUCGGCUCGAUAUUCGGCUUGCUCGAGCUUGACUUGAAAUUAAAUGAGCCGAGCUUGAACAAAAAAAAAAACUCGAAAUUUAUUUCAAGCCAAGCUUGAGUAUUACUAGGCUCGCUCGAAUUAGGCUCGAAAAGCUCGUAUGUGUGUGUGUAUAGUUCGGCUAUUAUACUAUCGAUAGUAUCAAGCGCUUGGUGUUAUCGAGUUUUCCACCGUUAGAUCUACUCCUUUGACCAUUUCUACCUGUUGGAUCAUACUAUUCAACCAACCAUCCACUCAACCCUAGGAGGCCACUAUCAUCCUAACUAGGGACCACUAUCAUCCUAACCGCACAUUCCUUCAUCAAAGGGCCGAAAACUUAAUAGCACCAAGCGCUUGGUACUAUUAAUAGUAUAGUAGCAUAAUUUUAUAUAUAGAGUCUAGUUACACUCUUAUGAGUAUAGUCCCCUCUAUAUUCAGAAGUUUCCGGCCGUUAGAUCUACCCCUUUGACCAUUUCUACCAGCUAGAUCAACCCUAGGGGACAACUAUCAUCCUAACCGCGUAUCCCUUCAUCCAACUGUCGAAAACUUAUUAAGUACAAAGGGUCUAUGCUCAUAAGAGUAUAGUAGCCCAACUCUCUCUCUAUAUUUUUUUUUUUCUUUUUAAUUAUAUAAUAAUAUAUAUUAUGUAUUUUAAUUAUAUGUAUAUAGGGUUUAGAUUAUUGGGCAUAUUUGCUGACCCACAAAACCAAACCAGCAAAUCCAACUCUAAUUGUUCUCUCGCUCUUUCACUUGCUUGCAAAGUCGCUUUCCCUAUUUUUUUUAAUAUUAUAAUACCAUAUUUGUCAUGCCCCCCGCUAUACCUCCCCCAAAUAGGUGGAAGGAGCCGCACAUGGGCGCGUGAGCCAAACCCGCAGAACAGACAAAAUUUUCCCUCUCCGCCCAAGGCGUCACAAUUGGUACAAUUCAAAACAUUCCAAACAAGAAUAAAAUUCAUAUACAGAUUGUAUAAGAAAGGCAUCAUAAACAUAAAUAACUACGCUAUUACAAACAUUCAUCUUAUUCAUUUUAUAAUUACAUUCUUCCAAAUACAAUCAAAUUUGUUACAUUUCUUUCAUUCUUCUCAAACCCUUAAGCUACACCAAUCCAGGGUACAUCUAUCUUUGGUCGCAAUGGUAGGACGCUAACUAUAGCUACGUCCUUUCCUCGCGCCGCUACGCCGCUCACGUGUAGACCUGCAAAACAUGGGGGUGAGAACUAUAAACAUAGUUCCCAGUGGGUUCGGCUACCGAUGUCGCCGAAUUUCCCACUAAGUCUAAUCAGGCAUAAAUAGCUACAAAAACUGGCAAGUAAUAAUGCAACUACACUGAGUAUGUAUAGAACUGAAAGUAAUUACUACUAUGCCUUACAACGGUAAGGAAUGAGUUCCAUGGUUCACUAUAAUCAAUGGUGUUCUCUUACUCACUCUUGACCCAACUCAUUCUCGACCCAAUCAGGAGCUUCCAAAAAAUCCAGUCCAGCUCACACCUCAUAGCCUCACAGGACUAGGUCCAAGAAUAACAUGAUCAACCAUCACUCAACAUGUGACUUAUUCUCGACCCAAUCAAAGGCUUCUCACAAGACCAAGCCCAACUCACAAGAAUAUCAUGGUUGACCCCACACACAACAUGUGAUCUCACUAUGCUCACCCUCUAUGCAGGAUGCAAGCAACAAUACGAUAUGGCAUAGGACACAAGUCUAUCUCUACCCGAAGUAUAACAUGCAACGAAUGCUAACCGCUAUGCUAUUUCAGUAACAACAUGAUCAAGUACUCACCACAUGCACAUAUAUGGAAAACAUGAUACUGAACAAUAACCUGUCUUUUUUCCUGGUCCCAAUAGCAUCGGCUCGCCAUAGGUCAAGUCACAACUAGCCACACCAUGUCACCACCAUGACUGUAUGCCAGGGGGGCACCGUCGUGACCCACACCCGUGUCAAUCUCAAAUCUCAAUGUGACACUCCGGAGCUCACAGCAUGGGAGUCGCGACCUCCACAAGCCCACAAUAGACAACGCGAGUAUAAUCACAUCCUCCAACGCGAGGACCUUCCACCCACCAGUGGAACAACAUCCAGGGACCUCACAACAUCCACAUUCAGAUGACAUGCAAUGCGCAAACAAUGAUGGAAUAUACAAUGUCAUGCUACAAGUGCAAUGACCUAAUCUCUUGAUACCCAAGGUUCAACAACUCAUGCUAUUAACCACGGUAACAACUCAACAUCAAGGGAUCUCUUUCAAUCCCUAGCAUGGUCCAGAGGAUAUCUUUCAAUCCCUCGCAUGCUCAAGAAUCUCAAAAUCCUCUUUCAAUCCCUCGCAUGCUCAAGAAUCUCAAAAUCCUCUUUCAAUCCCUCGCAUGCUCCAAAAUCUCAAAAUACUAGUUGUGACGAUACAAAUGCAUCGAUUCAAUCUUUUCCACAUAUACUUGAGAGUUUACUCAAACUCAUGUCUUGUGCAUCAAUAAGAUAUACAAACACCACACUAUGUGGACACAAGCAACUAUGCAUUGCUUUAUGGACUAUGGCCACACAUUCAUGCAAUGACCCAAUUUCACAUUUUACACUUGGGGUUCUCUCAAUUCAUGCCAUGUUCUUUUCAUGCAUAACAAUUCAUACCCAAUCCAUUGUGCAACAGUAGAUUCUCACUCAACAUCAUAAUGGCCCUAGCAUCUCAAUUUGUUUCAAUGUCCACACUUUGUUUUCUAUGUCUAAACCCACUAGUUUUCUCUAUUAAUUCAUCAAAUACAUCACUAGGGUUCAAGUAUCACCAAGUUCAUUGUCACGCCCCGAGACCGCUAUCAAUUUGGUCCGACCCCAGGCGCGUCGAACAGACGCCGAACGGACAGAACCUCCCCUGUCCGCCCAAGGCUAACCAACAGAUCAUGCAUAAGAAUUUACCCAGGAAUCAAUUCAUAAAUACACGAUCACAAGGAGCACCACCAGUGCUAACAAGACGAGAGCAAGGUACAAGUAUGGAAACAUAUACAAGCACAUAAAGAGAGAAGGUUCUAUCUAUUACAGUUAUUCAACUCAAUACAUAUAAUUCCAUCUUUCACAUUCUUCCAAAACAUAAAUACAAACACUCAACCUCACCCUAUACAACGUCUACUCUCAAACAUAAAUACAGGGUGGAGCU
This 54966-nucleotide long non-coding RNA is filed under the name Ananas comosus (pineapple). Its description in RNAcentral is "long non-coding RNA (ACOM_LNC010111)". The record is from RNAcentral. Lineage: Eukaryota; Viridiplantae; Streptophyta; Magnoliopsida; Poales; Bromeliaceae.